RNAcentral lists this long non-coding RNA (88641 nucleotides) under Coffea arabica (coffee). RNAcentral describes it as "long non-coding RNA (CARA_LNC003662)". The stretch from base 66735 to 66842 matches the Rfam family "Plant small nucleolar RNA R71". Lineage: Eukaryota; Viridiplantae; Streptophyta; Magnoliopsida; Gentianales; Rubiaceae. The record is from RNAcentral.
AUAGAGUAACUAUGAACGGAAAAGAAAGGCAUUCGAUUGCACAGUUUGCCUAUUGCAAGAAAUUGGUAGAGACACCAACAGAGCUGGUUGAUGAUGAACACCCCUUAUUAUAUAAGCCAUUGGACAAUUUUGGUUAUCUCCGAUUCUUGAGCACAGAUGAUAAUUUUAAUACUCCAAAUCCACUGAAGGCCUAUUGUGGCGUCUAAAACACCAGACGCAUCGAUUUUUAUGGAUGAAAAGCUUUUUCUUCUUUUCAGUCGAUGUUUAUUCUUCUCCCCUAUUGUGCCCACUUUUUCUUGAAAAUGUUAGGGGAGUAGCUUUCUCCAGGAUUAAUCUAUGCAAUAGUUUAUUUCAGUGUGCUGUCUGUUUUGUACCUAGAAGAAAUAAAUAAGGGAAAAGAAAGAAAUUGGAGGGAUACAAAUAAAUAAAAUUUGGCAAGUAAUCUACUGUUCAAUCAAAAGGAUUUGGAGGUUGACGCAUCUGAUGAGAUAUUUUUUUCUUCCCAUUUCAAUCUCAGUUGGACUAAUUACUAAACUGACUAAUUACUUCCUCCAACUGAAAUCUAAAUCCACAUUCCACGCCCUCGACGGGAGCAAACGAGAUCGUAUUCUCAAUACGCUAAGCAUCGAGCUACGCUGCAAAUUCCGUCUAGUUCAAUUUCUUCACGGGCCUACACAAGUUUUUGCCGUAUGCUAUAAAUCCACAUCCUACACCCUUGAUGGGAGCAGAUGAGAUCGUAGUCUUCUCAAUACACUAAAAAUGCAUCGAGCUAGCGCUGCAAAAUCCGUCCAGUUCAAUUUCAUGGAUAACCCAAAGUUGCAAAAACUUCCUGUCAUCAAUUUCAUGGUAAAGGUUUUCAUGUGAAUUUAUACUACUUGAAAGAUCGAUAGUGUUAGUAAUUGAACCAAAUUAGCCUGCAUGUAUUAUGUAUUAAACGUGCAAAGUGUUUAAAGUAAAAUUUCACCUCAUGGAAAGUGUCUUUGUAAAUUUAAGAGUCUACUUGUCAUACGGUGGGAGCAAUUCUAACAUCAUUGUUAAGUUGCAAAUUGACUUUAUUUGGCUCACAACAUUUUUUACCUAUCAUUUGAGUAACUUAUUUAGAAGUAUUUGCUUAGAGAGAUUUUUUGGGUUAAUUAUUGCUCCAACUGAAAAAUAUUUUUAGCUCAUUGUGUAAAACAAGGUGAAUAUUUUUGGGUUGGGAGCAAAAUUAAAUAAAUUGAAGAAACAUUAAAAAUGCAAGGUGAAAAACCGUUCUUAUUAUAAUAAACAAAACAGUUGCACACCACAAGAAAGAGGGAAAAUAAAACAAGAUUAAGUAUGCGAUCGCAUGUGACGUGAACAUGUAUAUCAAUGACCUCAUUGUAGUAACGGCAAUUGUUCUCUAGUUGAAGAACUUUUAUAUUUGUUUUCUAAAAUAAUUUUGAUAUAGUUAUUCUUUUUGUCCUCUAUAUGUUUUAAUUAAUCGAUAUAUUUUGUCCUCUAGAAAGCGUCCUUAUUUUUUAAAACAAAAAUCAAGAUAAUCAAGCUUUUUUUUUUUUUGCAGGCAUGGAGCAACAGCAGAAUACAACCUUGUUUUCAUCGAGUUUUAACGAACGCGAAUGCAAAAUGAUUGUCAUUGGUGAUGUUCUCUUUCAAUAGUGGGGUCUUACACAUCCCUCAGGAGUUGAUUGAUGAUGAACAUCCACAGCGCUUUGAGUCAUUUGAUGGCCUGGGAUUGCUCGAUUUCUUUGUCGAAGAACUGCGAAUGGGCCUGCCAACCAUAGUUAUUAAACCCGGCCCGAGAAGAAAUCCGGUGAAAGAGGUGGAUCAACAGAUUACUGGUUUAAUCAGUGGGUGAGUGGUUCAACAGGUGAGUCACUAAAUAUACUUAAAUAUUAUGUCUUAUAAAUUUUUAUAUGAUUGAAAUUAUAAUAAACUGUGCCUUAGUAAAUGUUUAAUUAGUCUAAUUUAUUAUAGAAUCAUUAAUGCUUAUAAGAAUCAACAAAACUUAAUUUUGCCUUAUGGGAAUUUCAUUAUUUUUAACAAACUUUUGGUUUUAACUUAUGGAAAUAAACUAGAUAAUGUUAUUUUAUUAAAAUUUGCCUUAUGGAAUUUGGGAAAUAAAUAAAAUUUUAUUAAAAGAUUCCAAAUAAAUUUUAUUUUGAAGAAAUAAAAGAAGAAUAAAAGCGUAAUAUAUAAUAUAAGAAGGACCAAACUAAUAAGUGGAUUGUUGGUCUAGUGGUGAUUACACUAUAUUCUUAUACUUGAGGUCCCAAGUUCGAACCAUCAAUGCAACAUUUUCUAAAAAAAAUUUCGCAUAGUAACCCGGGUUCCUCAGAAAAAUCGACUGGUUCACUGGGUUGAUCGGUUCAUCAAAAUGAUCUAAUUAACGGGUUCAUCAAAAUGGGUUCAGCGAUUUGUCAAAAAGUCAAUGGUUCUACUGUCGAGACGAUCUAAUUAGCAACCCGGCCCGGUUCUAUGACCAGUUCACCGGGUUGAUCGGUUGAACCGUCGGGCCGGGCUGAGUUUAAUAACUAUGCUGCCAACUGAUUCUACCACCAAGAAAUAUUGUAGUCUUUGACUUUUGAAAUCUUUCUCAAAAUCUCACACACACACAUAUACACACACUAGUGAGAUGGCCUGUGCAAUGCGCAGGGGAUUAAUAUUUCCCAUGUUAACUGUGUUUUAUUGUAUGGAUUUAUUAGUAUAAAUCUCUAUUAUUAUCUAAUUUAUGUAGAUCAUUAGGGAAUUGUUGUUUUUGUUAAAGGUUAACAAUUAUGAAAUAUAUAGAAUGUAUGAGAGCGCUUAUAUAGAAUGCAUAAGAGCAAUGUUAUUUUCCAUUUGGAUUAAGAUAAUUAGAAAUUUAUACAGUAAAUGAUUCCCAAAAGAGUAUUAAUCAUCGUUGACACAAAAAAGAAGGGACCUGCAAGUCAAUUAAGCACUUAAACCAUAGAACUUGACAUUACUAAAAAUUAAUCACCACUAAUUAAGCACGUAACCAAACAAACCCAAAUUAAACGACGUGUCAAUUUGAUCAAAGCAAUCAACUUUCUGAUCCCAAUCUUUGACAGUUUAUUUUCACAUUCAAAUGACAAAAAAAAAACUCCAUUAUAAAAUAAGUGAAAUUAAAUUACUCUAAACUGAAAAAAAGCCAUUAUUAAUUAGCUGAAAAUUAAGAAAGUGACCAACCCUACUCAGCUACUCAUAUGCAUAAUAGGAAAAGUAAACUUUAUUUUGUUUACAUACAAAUAUUCUAGAAAUUUAAAAUAGAAAAUGAGGCAGUAUUACUGUAAAGGGAAAAAAGUCCCAAUGGCCCUCCAACUUUUGGCCGCGUAAAAUUUUAGCCUUUUAACAGUUAUAAGAAAAUUUUUGGCCCUCGAUCUAGUAGAAGUACAAAUUCUUGACCCUUCUGUCAAUUUCAGUAGUUAUGAGUGACGGAGAACAUCGUCAUGUGUGACGCACGAGAAAAUAACAAGGGCAUUCUUGUCCAAGCGAGAGUAUUAAUCGAGUAAAAAUUUACUUGCUUCUUCUCCUAUCCACCUUCAAUCCCUAGGGAUUUGGGAAAUGCUAUCCUUGCAUAAUUCGAUUUGGGACUUUUCAAUUCAAGAAUAGUACAAAACAGACAAAUUCCUAUCGGCACGAGAAAGAGAUCAUAGUAAUGGUUUUCUAUCCCACUGAGGUACCUUGUUCUAACAUAAAAGAACAAAAAUUCUUUGCCUAAAGCAAAAAGAAACAGCACAUUGAGGAUAGCUGAAGGAAAUUGAAACAAACUCUUGACAUGCAUAAUAGGAUUGCUCUUGAUAACCUGGGAUUGCUCGAUUUCUUUCUCGAAGAUGUUGGAAACUUUUCAAAAUUUGUAUGAUGUACAUACAUGUAAUUAAUGUAUAUUCAUUAAUUUUUGGUACAUGUAUAGUAUUGUGAAUGAUUCUAAAAUGUACAUUCAUUUAUGAAUGUAUUCAUGUAUAUGUGAAUUAUUGAAUGAAAGGAUAGAUUCAUGUUUGAUCUAAUGAUCAUGAGAUGCAUGAAUUAAAGUGCAUGAAUGUGUACACAAUACUUUGAAUCUAUUCAUACACAAUACUUUGAAUCUAUUCAUACAAGUGUUUAAUGAGGUCUUUUGUUUCCCAAACAAAUCUUCCUAUAUAAAGAGGUCAAGUAGAGAGUGGUUUGCUGCAGAAAAUCACUUUCCUACUAUCCUUACUCUCUCAAAAGCACUCCUUAGUUCACAAAGGGUUUGUCUUGCUUUGUGCAAGAGUUUAAGACAAACAAAACUUCAUCUUAUCCUAAAGGAUAUUUGUCCAAGGUUAUUGCACUUUAUAUCGGACAAAUAAAGCCUAAAGGAAAGUGAUUUCUAUCACGAUUUGAAGCCAAUUCUAGUCACAAUAUUUGCCAAUUCUUUGCUUUCUACCCAACAAUCUUUAGGCUUUAUUUGUACUCUACAAUGGCUGGUACCUUGAAAGAUUUGGCAUCCAAUAUUGUCAAGCUCGAGAGGUUUGAUGGAGGGAAUUUCAUUCGUUGGCAAAAACGUGUUCGUUUCCUUCUCACUGCACUCAAAGUGGUCUAUGUUUUGACCACACCAAAACCAUUGAUCAAUCCCGAUGAAGAAACUCUUGAAGACAUCCGAAACCGUCAGAAAUGGGAGAACGACGAUGAAAUAUGCCGUGGUCACAUCCUCAAUACCAUGAGUGACAACCUGUUCGAUGUCUACCAUUCAAUUGCUACCGCCAAGGAACUUUGGGAUCGAUUGGAGUCCAAGUAUAUGCAAGAAGAUGCUACAAGUAAGAAGUUUCUUGUCUCGUCUUUUAAUAAUUAUAAAAUGGUAGAUAAUAAGUCUGUUAUGGAGCAAUUUAGUGAGAUUGAAAGGCUUAUUAAUCACUUCACACAACACAAUCUACACAUGGAUGAAGCCAUUAUUGUUUGCUCUAUAAUAGAUAAGUUACCACCUUCUUGGAAAGAUUUCAAAAGAGAUCUCAAACAUAAGAAAGAGGAUAUCUCUCUUGAGAUUCUUGCUAAAUCUCUUCGAGUAGAAGAGGAAAUUCGCAUGCAAGAAAAGAAGGAUAGUCAAAUCCUUGAAGAGAAUAAAGAUUCUACUUCAAAAGUGCAUGUGAUUGAAGAGAGACAAACUGAAAAGUCUCAAGGAAGCAAGAAGGGCCAACAACCCAAGAAUCAAUCCAAGAAAAGAAAGAAGGGACAAUGCUUCUAUUGCAAGAAAGAGGGACACUACAAGUCCGAGUGCAAGAUUCUUCAAAACAAGAAGAAGAAGCAAGAGUCUUCCCAAAACACAAGCAAAAAUCUUGUAGCAAUGAUAUCUGAAAUCAAUAUGAUUGAAGAUGAUUUUGCUUGGUGGGUUGAUUCUGGAGCUACGCGACACGUGUGCAACAAUAGAACGUUCUUCAAGUCCAUGAAACCGGUGGAUGAAAGCACCGUUGUUUACAUGGGAAAUUCUGCUACAAUUCCGGUUCAAGGCAUUGGAGAAGUAGAAUUAAAAUUUACUUCCAAAAAUGUUGUAACCUUGACAAAUGUGUUUUAUGUACCGGAAGUUAGGAAGAACUUGGUGUCAGCUGGGCUGUUAAAUAAAUUUGGCUUUAGACUUGUGUUUGAGUCUGACAAAUUUAUUUUGUCUAAAGGUGGUAUGUUUGUAGGCAAGGGUUAUCUUUGCAAUGGGAUGUUUAAGUUGAAUGUACUUGCUAUUAGAAAUAAUAAGAGUGAUAUUAUUUCUGCGUAUUUGGUUGAGUCUUCUUUUGAAUUGUGGCAUAAUAGGAUUGGUCAUGUUAAUUACAAAAGAAUGCAUGAAAUGAUGAGACUUGAUUUGCUGCCAUAUUGUGAUAAGAUUGAAGGAAAAUGCAAUACAUGCAUGCUAACGAAAAUCACAAGAAAUUCGUUUCCUAAAGUUGAAAGAUCAUCUAAAAUCUUGGAUCUCAUUCAUAGUGAUGUAUGUGAUUUGCAUGGAACUCCUACUUUGGGUGGUAAAAAGUACUUUGUGACUUUUAUUGAUGAUUAUAGUAGAUACUGUCAUGUUUUCUUGUUACACUCAAAAGGUGAAGCUUUGCAAAAAUUUAAGGCAUACAAAUCAGAAGUUGAACUUCAUUGUGAAUCCUUUAUCAAAUGUCUAAGGACAGAUAGAGGUGGGGAAUAUUAUGAUAUUACCUAUUUUGAGUCUGUUAGGAUAAAACAUGAGGUGACUGCUCCUUACACACCACAACAAAAUGGUGUAGCCGAAAGGAAAAAUCGUGUAUUGACAGAAAUGGUUAAUGCACUUUUGUCAAAAUCUGAUUUAAGUCAAGGAUUUUGGGGUGAAGCCUUGUUAACGGCUUGUCAUAUCCUAAAUAGAGUUCCUAAUAAAAGGAGUUCUAUAACCCCUUAUGAAUUUUGGAAUAAAAGGAAGCCCAACCUAAACUAUUUGAAAGUUUGGGGUUGUAGAGCUGUUGUAAAACUCCCAGAAUCUCAAAAAAGGAAAUUGGGAGAAAGAGGUGUGAAGUGUAUAUUCUUAGGAUAUGCACAAAAUAGCAAAGCAUAUAGAUUCAUGGUAAUUGAAUCUAAUGAUUCAAUUUCGGUUAAUACCAUAAUUGAGUCUAGAGAUGCUAUUUUUGAAGAGAAUAGGUUCACCUCUAUAAAAGAUGUUAUUCCAAAAUCAAGUGAAUUGACAAAAGAUGGUGUAUAUGAAACCAUUGAAUUGAGAAGGAGCAAAAGAGCUAGAAAGUCAAAAGACUUCGGUUCGGACUUUUAUAUGUAUCUAGUUGAAGGAACUAGAGAUACAGUGAGCAACCAAAUCUCAUAUUGCUUCAAUAUUGGGGCUGAUCCCAAGACCUAUGAAGAAGCAAUGAACUCACAAGAUGCUCCCUUUUGGAAGGAAGCUAUUAAUGAUGAGAUGGACUCAAUCAUGGGUAAUAAAACCUGGAAAUUAGUAGACUUACCACCUGGUUCAAAACCAAUUGGUUGUAAGUGGAUCUUCAAGAAGAAAAUGAAGAUCGACGGAACUAUUGAUAAGUUCAAGGCCAGGUUGGUUGCCAAAGGGUUCACACAAAAGUAUGGUGUGGACUAUUUUGACACAUAUUCACCAGUAGCUAGAAUUGCUACAAUUAGAGUGCUACUUGCUAUAGCUUCUAUCCAAAAUCUAGUCAUUCACCAAAUGGAUGUUAAAACAGUAUUCUUGAAUGGUGAUUUGGAUGAAAAAGUAUAUAUGGAGCAACCCGAAGGGUUUGUGAUACCUGGUCAAGAGCAUAAGGUGUGUAAACUUGUCAAGUCUUUAUAUGGACUAAAACAAGCACCGAAACAAUGGCAUCAGAAAUUUGAUCAAGUUAUUCUUGCUAGUGGGUUCAAAAUAAAUGAAUCUGAUAAAUGUAUUUAUAGCAAGUUUGAUGAUGGCAAAGGUGUCAUAAUUUGUUUAUAUGUUGAUGACAUGUUGAUUUUUGGGACUGACUUGGAACAAGUUGAAGUCACAAAAACUUUGCUUUCAAGCAAAUUUGACAUGAAAGACAUGGGUGAGGCAGAUGUUAUUCUUGGUAUGAGAAUCUUCAAACAUGAUAACAAUAUAAUGUUGUCUCAAACACAUUAUAUUGAAAAGAUUCUUAACAAAUUCAAUCAAAGUGAUUGUAUUCCAGUCUCAACACCAUUGGAUCCCAAAAUAAAUUUUGUGAAAAAUGAGGGGGAUCCAAAAUCUCAAAUGGAAUAUGCCAAGAUUAUAGGGUGUUUAAUGUAUGCAAUGACUUGUACUAGACCUGAUAUUGCAUAUGCAGUUGGUAUAUUGAGCAGAUAUACAAGCAACCCUAGUAGGUUACAUUGGCAAGGUGUAACCAGAAUUUUAAAGUAUUUAAAGGCCACUAAGAACUAUGGUAUAUGUUAUACCGGUUAUCCUUCAGUUCUAGAAGGAUUUUCAGAUGCUAGUUGGAUCACCAAUAAAGAUGAUCACUCGUCGACAAGUGGUUGGAUCUUUAUGCUUGGUGGAGGUGCAAUUUCUUGGGGUUCUAAGAAACAGACUUGUAUCACCGAUUCAACAAUGGCAGCAGAGUUUGUAGCACUUGCUUCGGCCUGUAAAGAAGCUGAAUGGCUACGUAAUUUACUUUGUGAUAUACCAUUGUGGCCAACACCUUUGUCGCCUAUCUCAAUUCAUUGUGAUAGUGCAGCUACACUUGCUAAAGCUUAUAGUCAAGUGUAUAAUGGUAAAUCAAGACAUAUCGGUUUGAGACAUAGUUAUGUCAAAGAUUUGAUUACAAAUGGAGUCAUAUCAAUUGACUUUGUGAGAUCAAAUGAAAAUUUGAGUGAUCCUUUGACAAAAGGGUUAUCAAGAAAUUUGGUGUCAAAUACAUCAAGGGGGAUGGGUUUAAAGUCCAAAAUUCUUGAUCACUAAUGGUGGAACCUCAAUUCAACGCUAGAUACAACGUCUAGUCUUGAAUUCAAUGAGUGAAAGUACACCAUUCUAGUGGUUGGUGCACUAUGUGAAGUUUAGACAUCCCAAUGUUGAAUAGUGCAUGUUAUUCUCGCCAGUGCAAAUGUAAGGAUGAGUCAUUGGACUCUUAACGAAUCUUAAAAGUGCUAUCUAUGGUGGGGGCACUAAGAUGUCGCCUAUAUGAAUGUUGGUUUUCGGCAAACCACAAAGUUAAGGACUUUACUUUGUAAACAUUCAUGAAAGGAUAGUGAUACAAGGCCGUAAAAUGUAUCAUUGAAGAACUUAUGGUUGUGCGUUGCUCAGUGUGUGAUGUGUUUAUGAGGUUGGUCCAAUGUCCAAGUGGUUCAAAGCUUGUCUACCAUCUUGAAGGAUUGAUUUCAAAGAACCUUCACUAAGAUAGUGGUUCAAUCGAAAGACACCAUUAUUUAUGCAUAUGAGUGUCAGAUUACUUGGUGACCUUUUAGAAAUCCAUUUUCUAAUUUUGAAAAUGGCGGGGGAUUGUUGGAAACUUUUCAAAAUUUGUAUGAUGUACAUACAUGUAAUUAAUGUAUAUUCAUUAAUUUUUGGUACAUGUAUAGUAUUGUGAAUGAUUCUAAAAUGUACAUUCAUUUAUGAAUGUAUUCAUGUAUAUGUGAAUUAUUGAAUGAAAGGAUAGAUUCAUGUUUGAUCUAAUGAUCAUGAGAUGCAUGAAUUAAAGUGCAUGAAUGUGUACACAAUACUUUGAAUCUAUUCAUACACAAUACUUUGAAUCUAUUCAUACAAGUGUUUAAUGAGGUCUUUUGUUUCCCAAACAAAUCUUCCUAUAUAAAGAGGUCAAGUAGAGAGUGGUUUGCUGCAGAAAAUCACUUUCCUACUAUCCUUACUCUCUCAAAAGCACUCCUUAGUUCACAAAGGGUUUGUCUUGCUUUGUGCAAGAGUUUAAGACAAACAAAACUUCAUCUUAUCCUAAAGGAUAUUUGUCCAAGGUUAUUGCACUUUAUAUCGGACAAAUAAAGCCUAAAGGAAAGUGAUUUCUAUCACGAUUUGAAGCCAAUUCUAGUCACAAUAUUUGCCAAUUCUUUGCUUUCUACCCAACAAUAGAAAUGCGAAUGGGCCUGCCAACUGAUUCUACCACCAAGAAAUAUUGUGGUCUUUGACUUUUGAAAUCUUUCUCAAAAUCUCUCACACACACACACAUAUACACACACUAGUGAGUUGGCCGCAUAUCGAUCAAGCUGGCAAGCAUCAGCACUAGCUAGUCAUAGAGUCUCUGAAAUUCUCUCAAAGUGCUUAACUACAAAUCCAUUUCAGAAGGUGUUUGACUUUUAAAAGACAACAUAGAAGACUCUGACCAUUCGCUUCUCACAUAGCACUGAAAUGAUUUGCUUAAACAUCAUCCAAAAUUCCUUUCUUUUAAAACCUAUUUUCUUUUGAAAGCUAUAUCUGUUUGGAUUGCUAUUUUUAGAUUUUUUUUAUAAAAAAAAUAUAUUAUAGUGAUUUGAUGUAUGUGAAAUAAAAAAGUGAUUGAAAAUUUUAUUUACGAAAAAUAAAAAAUAUAAAAAUUGUCUGAUAGAAAUCCCAAUCCAAACAAGGCCACGAAAGAAAAGUACAAGUAGCAAAAUUUUUACCUAACAUCUAUUUAACUGUUCAAAUUAUCUGUAGCCAGUACGUCUAAAAAAAUGCAGCACAUUUACACAUGAUAUGAGCAAGCUAAGAUAUCAUUUCUAGUUUGCCAUUAUUGUUACAAGCUAACCAGAAAAAAUCUUUUGAAAGGAGAGUAGCUCAACCAAGUGUAGAUGCAACAAACUUAACAAGAGUACAAGCGAUAGGAUUGCUAUUCUUAAAGGAACAAAUUAUCCGGAUGGCCACUAAACUUAUACAAUCAUCGAGUUUUGAUCACUAAACUAUUAAAAGUCUGAUUUUGCCUACUGAAAUGUAUAAAGUUAAGAUUCAAAGUCAUUCUAUUAGAUUUAGUCGUUAAGUUCAAGAGGGAACGUUAUUCAAGGGACAAUUUAGGAAGUUCAUCAGCAAGAACAACUUCGGAGACAAAUCCAUUGUUCCCCCUACCAAGCUCAUUGAACUCCUUGAAACCAUUGGUGGCAUCCUUCAGUUCUGAAAGCCGAAACACUUGGGCAAUCCCAGGACAUUGGACCACACACGAAGGAGGAUUUGGAUCACCAUUGGACCACACCCAAUGGCUACUUUGUCAACCGAACCUGAACUUCCAAACGACACCGUUUUGGUGGCAAAUUCUCCCAUAGUACUAGAGUUAUCUCCCUACAACGCUUCAUACGUACACAGGUCAGCGUUGCAAUUUUGGUUUGUGCCCAGGGAAGUACUCUUGCGAUGCACAGGAUAAAGGACUAUAAGAUGAAGACUCAGAUGGGUCAAAGAUCAGGUCGGAUUGGUUAAAGCAUGCAUCGCAGGGCUGGCAUUGGAGCUAGUUGAUUGGCUACCCGUAUCUGAUACCAGGUAGAAUUCUUUCACGGGUUGGCCCACUCCGAUCCGAGGUAAGUACUUUCCCUCAGAAUCAGUCAGUGGAGUUUCCAGGUCCUCAGAUUUGGAUCACCAUUGGACCACAAAUCUUAAGAUCUUUUCGAACACACAAGUUGGUCAGAUCUGGCUCAUUGAGAAUGCUGGUGUUGAAGGCCAAUUUUCCUUCACCACAAGUAGCAAGGCUACAUAAUCCGGGACUGCAUAACUGCAAUGGAGGAUCAUAAUCUAAAGGUGAAGGACCAUUUACGAACCAACAAUCAAGUACUAGAUCAGCCUCCCUGAUGCCACAGGUAACAAAAUCUGUGGAAGCAAAGGCAAGAAAACCAGAACUCUUUGGAACCAAAGACGAAUUAAAGUUCCCCCAACUUUCAACUCCCUGAUCAUCUUCUCGAAUCCCACAAAAAUGUUUUUCUCCAGCUACCACCGAAACGAAGUGAAUCUAGUAGAAUGCCAAAAGAAUCAUUAUUACUCAACAAAUGUCUCCCUGAUUUGCCCCUUUCUUUUGUCUUGGGAAUCGCAUGGGCACUCAGAUCUGGCGUAUUUAAUGACUAAACCUAAUAGAAUGACCUUAGGUCUUAACUUUACAUAUUUCAAUAGUCAAAACCAAACUUUUAAUAGUUCAGUGACCAAAAUUCGACGAUUGCAAAAGUUUAGUGACCAUUUGAAUAAUUUGCUCUUCUUAAUAUCUGUUAGGUUUGGCCCCACGAAAUUGACGAAGGGAUUUUUGGCAACCCUAAAAGACAAAUAAUAAAGUAGAAAUAAGUAAAACAGGAACACAAGAAUUUACGUGGUUCGGUCAAAUUGACCUACGUCCACGGGCGAAAGAGGAGCAAUAUUUUACUAUGAAGAAAUGAAUACAAAAGAUGCCUUAGGAAAGUGUUCUUACGUCUAAAAUACCUAAUACUAAAAACACAAGAGAGCCCAAAAAUAUUUAACUAAACAAAAGGCUUAAUGACCCAAAAGUCCAAAUAGCCCACUAAUGCUCUCUUGGUUUUGGUGGACUUAACCCCAUCAUAGGCCCACUAUAUUUAUAGGCAAUUAAGGGAAAGGUUCCCUUAUACAAACGCCGAUGUGGGACAAAGCCACAUUAACAAAUCUCCACCUUGGCGUGCCCCCAACAUCAACAAUAGCAAAAUUGCUCCACCUUCUCCACAUAAACCCCAAUGGAUCUAAAUCACCAACAAUGAAUACCAACCCAAUUCAAGAGGUUUUGUGAACAUGUCAGUAGGAUUCUCCUUGGUACUAAUUUUCUGAACAAGGACUUUUCCCUCAGCAAUAGUAUCUCGAAUGAAAUGAAAUUUCACAUCAAUGUGCUUCGUCCUCUCAUGAUACAUCUGGUUUUUACUCAAAUGAAUGACACUUUGACUAUCACAGUAAAUAGUAGUAACACCUUGAUACAAACUAAGUUCGCCAAAUAGACUCUUCAAUCACAAGGCAUCUUUGAUUGCCACAGUCAUGGCCAUAUAUUUUGCCUUCGUAGUAGAUAAAGUUACGACGGGUUGUAAAAUAGCUUUCCAACUAACUGCACAACCGCCAAUGCAAAAUACGUAACUUGAAAGUGAUCUUCUCCUGUCACGACCCCCAGCAUAGUCAGAGUCUACAAAACCAACCAAAGUAUCAUUAUUUCUUCCAAACUCCAAACUACAAUUUGAAGUCCCUCGCAAGUAUCUGAAAAUCCACUUCACAGCCUGCCAAUGUGUUUUUCCGGGACACGACAUAUAUUUGCUAACCACACUGACUGCUUGUGCAAUAUCUGGAAGAGUACAAACCAUUGUGCAAUAUCUGAGAAUCCACUUCACAGCCUGCCAAUGUGUUUUUCCGAAAUACGACAUAUAUCUGCUAACCACACUGACUGCUUGUGCAAUAUCUGAACGGGUAUAAACCAUUGCAUACAUAAUGCUGCCAACUGCGUUGGAAUGAGGAAUCCAUGCCAUAUACUCUUCCUUUUCAACUGACUGUAGUGACUGAGCAGCAGAUAGUCGAACAUGACUAGUAAGAGGAGUAGUCACAGGUUUAGUAUCUUUCAUGCCAAACUUCUCCAAGACCUUUUCAAGAUAAUUUUCUUGAGUCAAGAAUAAUUUUCUAGCUCCUCGGUCUCUUUUGAUCUCCAUGCCAAGAAUUUUUUUAGCUGCUCUCAAAUGUUUCAUAUCAAAUUUACUACUUAACUGCAACUUCAAAGUGUGAAUUUCUGACAAAUUCUUGGCAGUAAUGAGCAUGUCAUCAACAUAAAUCAGCAAAUAAAUAAAAGAACCAUCAUCUAACUUCCGGAAGUAAACACAACUAUCAUACAUGCUCCUUGAUUAAUCAUGACUCAACAUAAAAGUGUCAAACCUCUUAUACCACUGUUUUAGAGACUGUUUCAAUCCAUAUAAGGGUUUCUUUAAUAAACAAACAUGGUUUUCUUUUCCUUCAACUUCAAAUCCCUGAGGUUGCUUAUAAAUUUUUUCUUCAAAUUCACCAUGUAAGAAAGUUGUCUUAACAUCAAGCUGCUCCAACUCCAAAUCAUAUAUGGCAACUAAAGCAAGCAAAACAUGAAUAGAGCUAUGCUUACAACAGGUGAAAAUACUUCAUUAAAAUCAACACCUUGUACCUGACUAUAGCCCUUUGCAACCAAACGUGCUUUGUACCUUGUAUUCUCAACCUCUGGAAUACCUUUUUUCUUCUUGAAAACCCAUUUGCAUCCAACAAUUUUCUUAUCUGGAGGCGGCUUCACAAGAACCCAAGUUCCAUUUUGAUGAAGAGACUCAAUUUCUUCAUUCAUCGCAACCAACCACUUAGUAGAAUUAUCACAAGCAAUCGCAUCUGAAUAAGUAGUAGGCUCAUCAACUACAUCAAUUUCUUCUGCGAUAGACAAAGCAUAUGCAACCAAGUUUGCAUAUCUUUGUGGUCGUUGAAUAUCCCUCCUUGGUCUAUCUAUGGCAAUGGAAUAUUCUUUUUCUUCUGAAUUAUUUUCAUCAGUAGAUUCAGAUGCAUCUAGUGGCACUUGUUGAAUAGAAGGACCAGAACUUCCAAUCUCAAGCUCUACCUGCUUCUGCAUAUUUUUAUCUGCUUGACAAGAACUAGACGACUCCUUCUUGGAAGAUAACAUAGAGAAUUCAUUAAAAUUAACAUAUCUACUGAUUAUAAAUUUUGAAAAUUUUGGAUUAGAACACCAUAAUUUGUAUCCUUUCACCCAAAAGCAUACCCAAGGAAAAUACACUUUUUAACUCGAGGUUCUAAUUUUCCAUCAUUUACAUGCAUGUAUGCUGGACACCCAAAAAUUUUAAAAUCAGAAUAAUCAGCAGGAAUACCUGACCAAACUUCCUCAGGAGUUUUGAAAUUAAGAGCAGCAGAAGGAGCACGGUUGACAAUAUAAUAGGCCAUAGAAAUUGCCUCAACCCAAAAAUCCUUUGCCAACCCUACGUUAGAGAUCAUGCACCUCGCUCUCUCCAAAAGUGUUCUGUUCAUACGUUCGGUUACACCAUUUUGCUAAGGCGUCAUCCUGAUAGUGUGAUGCCUAACAAUUCUUUCAUUCUUGCAAAAUUCAUCAAAUUCUCUUUCACAAAAUUUCAUGCCAUUAUCUGUUCUAAGCCGCUUGAUCUGUUUACCUGUCUGUUUCUCAAUCAAAACUUUCCAUUGCUUGAAAGUGAGGUAAACGUUAUUCUUAUGUUUAAGAAAAUAACCCAAACUUUUUUUGAAUAAUCAUCAAUGAAAGUCAACAUAUAUCUGGCACCACCCUUAGACGGAAUACGAGAUGGACCCCAUAAAUCUGAAUAAAUAUAAUCAAGAGUACCUUUCGUCUUAUGGAUUGCUUGAGAACUGAAGCUAACUCUUUUUUGCUUUCCAAAGAUACAAUAUUCACAGAAUUCCAGUGACCCAGUACUCUGACCGCAAAGAAGUCCCCUUUUGCUUAAUAUGCCCAGGCUUUUCUCGCUCAUCUGUCCCAAAUGCAUAUGCCACAAUUUGGUGAUGUCAGAAUCAGACAAAGAUGAUGAUGACGAAACUGCAACCGAGCCUGUGACAGUAGAUCCCUGCAAAACAUAUAAACUACCAACCCUGCAAGCUUUCAUUACAACGAGAACACCUUUAGAAACCUUCAUAACGCCAUUUUCAGCUAUAUAUUUGCACCCAAGAGUCUCUAAGGUGCCCAAAGAGAUGAGUUUCUUUUUCAAAUCAGGAACAUGUCUAACAUUAGUGAGCGUCCUCGCAAUACCAUCAUGCAUUUUAAUUCGAAUUGUACCCUUACCAACAACAUUACAAGCGGCAUUAUUACCCAUCAAAACAAUUCCACCAUUGUAAGAUUCAUAAGUGGAAAAUAAAUCCUUAUUGGGACACGUGUGAUAAGAGCACCACGAAUCUAAAAUCCAUUCAUUUUUAGACCUUGUCCUGUCAUCAGUUACAAAGAAAAUACUUCCUUCAUUCUCAUCAGCUGCAACACCAGCUUCGGCAGUCUCAAAAUUUGUCUCACCAGGUUUCCCCUUUUGUUUCAAUUUAUUUUUCAAUUUGAAACAAUCUGCCUUAAUGUGCCCCAUUUUAUAAUAAUAAUUGCACUCCACAUUUCUAUGUCUGGAUUUAGAUCUAGAUUAUCUACUUUUAUCAAAUUCUCUUCUCUCAGUUCUGCCCGUAACAACCAAACCUUCUACAUGGCCUCCACUAAAUUCCUCAGUAAUAUCCCUGUCUAUCUGCUCCUUAGAUUUUAAUGCAGAUUUAAUUUCCUAAUACGAAAUUGUUUCUUUUCCAUAAAUCAUAGUAUCGCGAAAAUGUUUAAAAGAUUGGGGAAGGGAACAUAAAAGUAACAAGGCCUUAUCCUCAUCAUCAAUUUUUGAAUCUAUAUUUCCCAAAUCCAUAAUAAUGGAAUCAAAUUUAUCAAGAUGUGAGAGUAUAGAUGUACCUUCAGUCAUGCGAAACAUAUACAAACUUUGUUUUAAAUAAAGCCGAUUCUCAACUGUCUUCUUCAUGUACAAGACUUUAAGUUUGUCUCACAUAGCCUUUGCCGAAGUCUCAGUGGCUACCUCCCGCAAAACCUCGUUAGAGAGAUUUAAGAGAAUACUGGAUCUUGCCUUUUUAUCCAUCUCAGUAAAAUUUGCUUCUAUCACACUCUCUGACUUUUUCUCAAUUCCGUGUAUCGCUAGAUCAACUCCGUCUUGAACCAAAAUGGCCUCCAUCUUAAGAUGUCACAUCUCGAAGUUGACAUUCCUGUCGAAUUUCUCGAUGACAGUCUUUGUUAUUGUCAUUGUUGCCACAAAAUCUAAAGCCUCCGAAGAAGCUCUGAUACCAGUUUGUUAGGUCUGGCCCCAAGAAAUUGACGAAAAGAUUUUUGGCAACCCCAAAAGACAAAUAACAAAACAGAAAUAAGUAAAACAGGAACACAAGAAUUUACGUGGUUCGGUCAAAUUGACCUACGUUCACAGGUGAAGGAGGAGCAAUAUUUUACUAUGAAAAAGAGAGUAUAAAAGAUGCCUUAAGAAAGUGUUCCUAGCCCUAAAACACCUAAUACUAAAAACACAAGAGAGUCCAAAAACAUUUAACUAAACAAAAGGCUUAAUGACCCAAAGGCCCAAAUAGCCCACUAAUGCUCUCUUGGUUUUGGUGCACUUAACACCAUCACAGGCCCACUGUAUUUAUAGGCAACUAAGGGAAAGGUUCCCUUAUACAAAAGCGAUGUGGGACAACGCCACAUUAACAAAAUCCUUGCCUUGUGUGCUUAAAACUACUAAUCAUUAUGCAUUCUAUUACCUUCAAAGGAAUUAAAUCAUAGAGUGGUAAUUCCGUUAACCAACCUAGCAAAUAUCUCCAUCCACAAGUUCACCAGAGGCGAUUCUUCGCUAGUAUUCUACAAGGGGCCCUGCUCCAUCUAUUUCUGCAGUUAAACCAAAAUAAUCCAAUAAACAACAAAAACUAAAACUUCAUGUCCAUUAAAAAUGCCACUAGAAGAAUUGCGAACCAUAAAUCACCAAUAAGGUAUCAACCUCCAUUAGCUACUCUUGCAGCAUCAGCAUGCAAACCUCUGGAGAACAGGUAAGAUGGAUGGUAACAUCUGCAAAUAUCUGCAUAUCGGUGUAGACUUUAGGUUGCCUUUCACUCGUAUUGACCCAAAAAUAGCGGGUUUGUUUGGAUUGUGAAUUAUUAGAGAUUUUUUUACUGUAGCACUUUUUGUGAUGUGAUGUAUGUGAAAUAAAAAGGUAAUUGGGAAGAUAAAAAGGUGUGUUGGAAAUUGUAAUGAUGAUGUAAGCAAAUAUAUUUUGACAAAUAAACAGCAAUCCAAACAAACCCGCUGUCUUUUUGGAAAUCCGAUAGAGACAGUAUCUGCUCUGUACCGAGAGACUGAUUUGAAUUGCUUGAUGGACCUAAGAACUGCUCUCAUCUCCAAAUCAGAACUCAAGUAAAGCAAAAAAGGGAUAGCUGCCAAUCCAGUUUUGCCAAGGAAAGAGUAAAAAACCCUGAAUUUCGCAUCAGAGCUGAAUCAAGUUGCUUUGAGAGAAAUGAUACGUUGCAAUCAGAAUAUUCCUAUUUUAAAGGAUCAUAAAAAGACAGACUUUUGACUGUAGCAUCUACUUUACUCAAUAAAAAAAUAGCAUUUCCCUACCAUGAAGUUUGAUAACAUUAAUCCAUCAAGUAACACUACCAUUGUGCAAAAACCAUCGACUUCAGUCAUUAACCAUUCAUAAUGGGCACAAAGAAAUCUCAGAUUCUUCAGACAAUAAAACAGAAAGAAUAUUGAAAGCAUCAACAAUCUCAUCGUUCCUAUUAACAUAUUACAUCUAAUAUCAAAUUAGAGGCUGAAAAAGACAAGAAUCACGUCUUUUGCAUACAAUCCUCCCUGGUCAAAAAGAUUGAAGAGAUUAAGAGAAAAGGUCAAGAAACACACCUGAAUAGAUAAAAUGAGCAAAACCCAGGUGUAAAAACCUAUGAAGUCAAAGACUGGAUUAUUGUUAGGUUUUUUUAAAAAAUAAUGCACCUUCUUGUAAAUUGGAUUUCAUCUAAAAAUUUUUCUAAGGCUUGUACAUAAAAUUAACAAAAUUGAUUAAGCAAACAGGCUGCAAGGCUUUGUCAAGUUUUUUUUUUUUUUAAGCACCUUGCAAACAGCCCAGCAGCCUUUGAGAAAAGUUUCCAGCCUAAGCCCAGUAGCUUAACAUUUAAAAAAAAAAAUAUUCAAGCAGGUUGUCAGGCUAACAAUCUUAGCAGCCUUUUAGAAAAAUUCCUAAUUGGCUGCUGAAAAAAAUUUUUGCCCUUCCUGUCGAGCUAAUUAGCACGGCAGGCAUUGUUCUGUAUCAUUUUCCUGUGAAAUCAAUAUUCAUGAUUUUUUUUUCAACAAUAAACAAAGGAAUUAGUGGAUAUAACGUACUUAUAAAUAGUAGAAAUGCAUAUUAUUCUAUCCACUUUUUCAACACUUGAUACAAAGGGAAAAAAAUCGUGGCACAACAAUUAUUAUUAUUAUUAUUUUCAAUGCAAUUCUUGAUUUUUGAUCUCUCUCUCUCUCUCUCUCUCUCUCUCUCUCAGUGUUUUGAAAAUCAGAUUGGACCAGCCGGUUCGAUCGAUUGAACCGCGAACCGGCCAUAGCACCGGUCCGAUUCUAUACUAAAGUUGACUUCAUUAGAAAACCGGUGAAAAUCAGUCAAACCCGUUAAAAUCGGUGAACCGGCAGUUUCCAGUUUUCAACAUUCCCCUCUUUUUUUUUUUAAGUUUUGCAAAAUAAAGCUACCAAGGUUCGAACUACCUUUGUGAUAGAAGACAAUGUAAUAACCAUUGUACCACCACAUUCUAUUAGCCUUUUUUGAUAACUUAUUUAUAUAGAAUAAACAUCCAUCUUUCUUUUCUCCAUUUUUCUUACAAAAUUCAUCCUCUCAUGACUCUUUCUUUUUAAUUUUCAACUCUAAUAUCAUUUUUCUUUGAAUUUGUCUAUUUGUUGCUAAAUCAUUCAAGACAUAUAAUAUUUAAACAUAUCAAUGUCCCUAACAUAAUAAUACAAAUGGUUGUACACUUAAGAAUACAAAUCCUGUUAAAUUUUAUCUCCAUAACUACAUUUUUUCAGAUAGAGAAAGACAUCCCUCUUAUUUUACAUGAUAAGGGGAAAAAAUAAAAAUUAUUAGUGAAAAAAUAAACUAUAAAAAUAUUACCAAAGUUCUAUACAUUUCAGCUUAUACAAUUGAAGUUGAAAGGAAAACUGCCGGACUUAGUCAAGUUGAAAAAAAAAAAAAACCUACCUAGCAAGUUGUGGGGCUGACAGCCCGUUAGCCUUUUACAAAAGUUCCCAACCCAAGUCGGCAGCCCAACAUUGGCUGUCAGCCCGGCAGCAUUUUAGAAAAAUUCCCAACUCCUGGCAGCCCAACAUUUAAAUAAAAAAAAAAAUUGCCUUGCCUAGCAGUCAUAGUUCUAUACCACUCUCGUAUCAGGUUAAUAUUCCCAAUUUUUUUCUGCAAUAAACAAAAGAAUUAGCUCAAUAUAACGUUCUUAUAAAUAGUAGAAAUGCAUAUUAUUCUAUUCCCUCUUUCAAUAUAUACUUAAUAUAAAGGGAAAAAAUUGUGGCACAACAAUUUUUUUUUUGUUUUGAACGCGAUUCUUGGUUUUUUACUUCUCUCUCACUCUCUCUCUCGAUAUAAUUAAGCUAAUAAAUCCUAAAUGUGUUUCAUUUUCUCUUUAAAUUAUUAAAAUGUAUGUCUUCAAACUAAAAUAUUGCAUUUAAGAUAGAAAAAAAAUAUGAUUUUUACCAUCUACUUCUACAUACUUUUGUACUUUGUAAUAUAUAAUUCAAAGCUGAUGAUAAGUUGUAAAUUUAAAUUACAAGCACCAGCGGAUUUAGAUAUACAGUAAAACUUUUAUAAAUUAAUAAUUUUGGGAUCAUGCAAAUUUUAUUAAUUUAAAGAGGUAUUAAUUAACCAAUAAAUUACUAAAUUUAUUAAUCUGUUGAAUGUGCUUACGAUUCAAAGAAACACUCAUUUAAUCAACUAAAAUUUUAUUUUAUUUUAUAAAAAUAUAAAUUAUUUUAUUAAUAAAAGGAGUUAAAAGUCUGAGGAUCAUAAAUCCAUAUCUGUUUGAUUUGUAAGUAUAAUUUAAUUGGAUAAAAAAUUUGGAUGAUCUUCAAAUAUUAAGUUGGUCAACUUUUAACCCUCCAACUAUUAAGUACAUCCCUUUGCACCCUCAAACUUGUAAAAUGGUAUAUCUCACCCUUUUGGCUACAGAUAAUUUUAGAAACCUUUCUUGCAGUUUACGUUAAUAGCAUUUAGGAUCUCUAAAGUUUCAAAAUUAUCACUAACCUCCCAUAAAACUAUACCUUUGUAAUAUCUCACUCUCGUAUUAUAAAAAAAUUCUUAAAAUAAUCUGUUACUGAGAGAGAUAUAUUUUUCUCCCAAUUCUACCCUUUUGUAUUGUUUUAUUAUCCCUUAGCAUGAUCGUAGGAUGAUGGGAGAAGCGCUAAGUUCUUUUCCAAUUACACAGUAGUACAGAGUACAUUUGUGAGACAUCAAUUCGAACUAGGUUGGUCUCGUUUAAAUACCCUCAAAUAUAGAACAUUACACUGCUCUGCCAUUUUAGGUAUUAGGUAGAUGUGAUGCGACCGAAUGUACCUUCGGUAGCUUCCAAAUGACCAAGGGCGUUUUAUUACAAACGUGUAUAUAGUUUUACCAUGGGUGUUUUUAUCAAAAACCAUGAAUUGUUUGUUCCUAAUCUGAAUUGUUUAACCUCUUGGCCUCACAGAUGUUACUACCUUAAUCAUCUAGAAUAUUGACAUGGCAUUUGUGCCAUAACUUUCGGUAUUUUUGUUGCAAAUGCUGACUUCUCUAGUGGAUACUAAUACAUUGAUUGUAUACAUUUUUGAAAUGCAGGCGUGGAGCAACGGUAGAGUGCAUUCCCCAUUUCAUAGAGUAACUAUGAAGGGAAGAGGAACUAGGUAUUCGAUUGCACAAUUUUCCUAUUGCAAAAAAUUGGUAAAGACACCAACAGAGCUGGUUGAUGAUGAACACCCCUUAUUAUAUAAGCCAUUCGACUGUUUUGGUUAUCUACGAUUCUUGAGCACAAAUGAGGAUUGGAAUAUUCCAAAUUCACUGAAGGUCUAUUGUGGCGUCUAAAACACCAGAUGCAUCGAAUUUUAAUGAUCAGAAGACUACAUGAUCUAUGGAUGAAAAGCUUUUUCUUCUUUUCAGUCGAUGUUUAUUCUUCUCCGCUAUUGUGCCCACUUUUUCUUGAAAAUGUUAGGGGAGUAGCUUUCUCCAGGAUUAAUCUAUGAAAUAGUUUAUUUUAAUGUGCUAUCUGUUUUGUACUUAGAAGCAAUAAAUAAGGGAAAAGUAAGAAAUUGGAAGGAUACAAAUAAAUAAAAUUUGGCAAAUAAUCUACUGUUCAAUCAAAAGGAUUUGGAGGUUGACGCAUCUAAUGAGAUAUUUUUUUCUUCCCAUUUCAAUCUUUACUGAUUUUUCAAAAGGAUUUGAUAUCUUUAUUGAUUUUUCUUAGCAUGGUGUUUUAGCCAUUGCGAUUGUUAAGAUUUUUCUCUAGGUUCGAUUGUGGUCGUGGCAUGAGUGAGGAGAAACUCUUAAAACAGUAGAAGAAAACACUGUAGAAUCGAGUUUUUUGAACAAAGAAGAGAAUUUCGAGGAUGAAAUUCUGUUAAGGGGAAGAGAGUGUGAGAAUCCAAAAAAUUAGGUUAUAUUUAUUUAUUUCUUUGAAUGCAUUUUCUUUACUUUAAAUAAUUGGCUUAAUGUCCUCGAUAUUUUUAUAAGUGUGUCAAGUUUUUAAAUCAUUUUGUUGGUAUAAGUUAGUACACGUUAAGUUUGAAGUGCAUUAUGGACGUGGGAACCGCUAAUGCGGUCAGUGAGGUAAAAUUUUGACUACUAGGUGAAGUUUUGCAUAAAGGGAUAUUGUUUUACAAGGUGUUAGGGGAUAAUUAGAGGUUAGCUAGAUAAAUUAGCUUUGGAAGACAAGAAGAUGAGAACAAAACCCUAAGACGCCAUUUGUCGCGAAACCGUUGGAUGUUGGACUUUGACCAACCUUUCUUAACUUUACUAAAAACCAAAAUUUGACCAAGAUGUCUUCAUUUUCUCCUUGUCUUGGCUGAAAAUUGUGAGAGGAAAAACAGGAGAGAGCGCUUCAUCUUCCACCUCAAUGCUUGCUUGAAUCUUGAGAUUUAGCCAUCAACUUUGCGAACCACUCCAUAAGAGUUGAUCACUAAGGAAGAUUAAAGGUGUUGGUAGAGUGAUUUUGGAGGAAGAAGCAUUAAGUUGCCAUCUUUCUUGAGGUUACAAGGAAACUUUGCUAAGAAAUCCCUUUUUGCUUCUAAUACUACCAUACUAGUGGUUUAGGGUUGCUAAAAUGGUAUUUUAUGAGAAAUUUCAUGAUUUGAAGUGGUGUUAUGAAAAAUUUCAGUUUUAUUGGUAAAUUUCUACCCUCAUAUGAUGCUUAAGUGUUGGCAAUGGUUUUGGUAACUUUGCUAUGUGAAAUAUCUAGUUUUUACAUGCUAAUUUGACUUGUCUAAAGAAAAUUUCAGCUUGUGAGUAGGAAUUUCAGCUUAGGGUUUCAUUUUCUAGCUUGAUUAGGUGAUGGUUAUAUGCUAUAUAUAUACUUGAUUUAGUGAGUUGUUGGCUUGAUAUGUACAUACUUGAGUUGAGGCUGUUUUGUGGUAAGAAUGAAGCCUUGAAUUGGCUGAAAAAAUUAGUAAACACAAGGGAGGUGCUACUGAAAAUUUGUCCACAGGAACCCUUGGGCAGACUUAGGAAAUCUUCUAUAUACUGUUGUAGAAAAGUCAGAAUUUAGUUCCGUUUGUUGCGUUUGAAACUAGAGUUAGAGUACUAUCAAUCGUGAAAAUUUCAGCCUUUUUCUCAAUUUCCAUGAAUAUGUAUGAAUUUUCAAAGUUGACUGAAAUUGCAUACAUGUUCUGUCUUUUACUGGAUGAAGUGGCAACUGGAGGCUCAAAUUUGACUGACUUAGGGACUGAAUCUUACAAAUGUGUCUUCUAAAAAAUUAAUCCUUUGAAUCUAUUUUCCGACGGUAUAAAGCUUAUCAAUUUUAGACUUACGAAGCUUAAGAUAUGAUUUUUCAAAUAGUGUUGUGCAAAGUUGAGAAAUUCUGUUCUCUUUGAACCGUUUUUACUUUCACUUCCCACUUUAAGUUUGGAGUUGGUCAAUCAUUUUUGGUAUGAUUUAUGAGUGGAAUUAAGGUUUAAGUGAAAGGAAAUGAAGUCUUAGAAACCUUAAUUUCUUCAUGUAUUUUGGCUUUGUAUUGCUAGCCUUGUAAUAUGGUAUAUAACCACAGGACUCGAAAGAAUUCAAGAGGACAAACCAGGGAUAAAAUGAAGGGUGGCAAUUGAUUGGUGAGUGUACCACUCGCAUGACUUGUUGCUCAACUAGUUUACUUGUACAUGCAAUUUGUGACUUGAAUAACUGUGACUUCUGUUUAUUCAAGACGAAAUGAGGGUGUACUUUAUCACACUCGUUUUUCUUGUCUGUUUGACUGGUUGCUGUAUAAAUUUGAAUCUGUUAACUGUACAUGAUUUGAUGUCGUUUGGAGGCUUGUAUCCAAUGACCUUGCGUGACAUCUAAGCUCAACCUCAUUGGUAGUUUAUCGAAUAGAGCCAGCAAGGGUUUGGUCGAAGUAGAUUGACGAACCAUGAGGCACUGAAACCCCUCUGAUAUUUGGUAUACUCAAGUAUUACCACCUCUGUUUCUGUUUGGUGUUUGGGUCCGGUAAGGGGUAUGUUUGGUGGAUGGAAUUUGAUGUAAAGUGGGGUCUACGGUCAUGGUUGCUUCUCUAAACGUUGGCGGAGAGUCAACGAGUUUGGAUCAAGUACUGCAACGGAAUUUGACCCUUGAGAGCCAUCUGUAUCCUUUCUAUUUGAAUUACUAUGUCUGACUAUGGUGUUUGUUCAUCUCCCUAUUUGGUGUUUAUAUUUAAUUGAGUAAAAGUGAAGUUCAAUGAUUUUUAACUAUUUGAACUUUUGGUACCUCAUUGGGCGAAAACUCAUACCCGUUACCUUUGUUUUCCUUACAAGGGACAAAUAUUGGAACCAUGAUUUUGGAGAAGAGUUGAGCUAGAUAUAGUUAUUUUGGAUAAGCUCCUCUGUAAUAGUAAACCCUAAUUGUAUUUUUAUCAAGUAUAACAUUUUGGCUUGUAAAGACUCCAAUGUUUAUAUAUUUAUGCAAGCGUAUGCUUAUGCAUAUUAGUUGAGAAUGCAUGUUUCUAUGGUUAUGUGAACUUUUCUUGUAUUCGUUGGAAAAUCAGGUGAGCGCGGAACUUGAGCAAGGAAAGAAAAGAAAUCUGGGGGGAAACAACUGUAGGGAAUCCGGCCAUAUUUCUGGCCAGAUCUUGGCCAGAUACUUGGCCGGAUUGUCAGGGGAAGAUGAGACAAUUUUUGUUUUGGUCACUGCCUUGAAUCCGGUCGGCAAUCCAGCCAAAUCUUGGCCGGAUUCUGACUUGGCCUUAGUUCUUUGCGCGUUUCGUUGGAGGGUUUAAUCGAAGUCCUAUUGCACCGUAUGGUUUGGUAAGCGUGUUUUCGGCUUAGUAGUCCUAGUCAGAGUUGGGCAGGCAGUUCGCUAACCCUUAGGGUACGCUCUAGGGGAAGGUGGGGUUGUCACACUCCCUCCAUCCCUCUUUCAUACUUUUCCCUCUUUUCUCCCACAAUCGCUUCUUCCUCUCAUCAAAUACUAUAUUCCAUUGUUAGCAGUCAUACCACUAUCAAUUUUUUACCAUCUCCAAAAUUUAUUUGUACUUUUUUUGUUUUUCUGUCUCUUUCUUACUAUAAAAAUUUUAGACUAUUUCUUUUUUUUUAAAAAAAAAUAGUUUUACUCUUUUCAAAUGUUAGCCAAUUGAAGUUACCAAAUUAACAAGGUGCGAACUAUAGAUUUCAUUGUCAAACUAGGAGAAGAUAAAAAAGGUGGCAGUGAUAUAGAAAAAUAAAAUAAAAUUGAGAUUUGGAAGAUAAAGAAGUGACUACUAUGUUUGUUAAGCAAAAAAAUCUAGUAAUAAUAAAAAAAUUCAUUGGUUCUCUCUUUUAUUUGCCUAUUGAUUGUGGUUUUGCUAUGAAGGUAGAUUUUGUCUCUAUUUCUAAUAGUACUAGAGUAAUAAUGAAUCAUGUUCUUAGGGACAUGAUGGCAUUUUUUGGUUCAGUAUUGGUAAUGGUAGCAGUGAGUUGCAUUAGUCAAGAAUUAGCAAGUAAUGAAUUUUGAGAUGAGUUGGAAUCGCUGGACUAUAUUUGAUUUAGUGAGUAUGCCACGUACAAAAAGUUAAAAAUUAAAACCUUAUUUUAUUUUGUCUUAUUCUCUAGAAAAAGGGUAUUUUAGGAUAUUUGUGAAAAAAUAUAAUCUAUUGGUUUAUAUUGUUACAUAACCUUAAAAGCAAGGGAGGUAGGUGUAAUUUUUAAAACUGAUGAGAGCUCUCUGUAAUUGUUGGAAACCUCAAGGGAGGUUUCUGAAAUUAUCCCAAAAGUUUAACACAUUUUCUUGGGAACAGUAGUAAUUCAAUGAGAUUCCUGUCAACCAUUGAUUUUGAAUUCUCGUAACAAAUUCAAGGUGCUGGCUAAUUUUGUAACUCCAACAAAAUAUUCAAGAAACCUUGAACUCUAAAUGAAACACAAUUAUAUGCAUUUCUACUGUUUUAUAAGUACGUUAUAUCCUAUGCUAUAAAUCCACAUCCUACACCCUUGAUGGGAGCAGAAGAGAUGGUAGUAUUCCCAAUACACUUAAGGCGUCGAGCUAGCUCUGCAAAAUCCGUCUAGUUCAAUUUCAUGGAUAACCCAAAGUUGCAAAAACUUCCUGUCAUCAACUUCGGCCAGGAGAAUUUGCAGUAUGGCACAAAAAGCUGGUCCUUGGCACGCAACGAAGUCCGCCACGCUCUUGAAGAAUGCGGUUGCUUUCUUGCUGUGUAUGAUGCAGUUUCUUUCAACUUGAGGGAUUCAGUAUUUUCUGCGCUAGAAAAACUGUUCGAUCUUCCCGUGGAAACAAAAAAGAAGAACACUUCUGAUAGGCUUUUCUUUGGUUAUCUUAGCGACCACCGUGACUCAGCUAUUCGUGAGAGCGUGGAAAUCGAAAAUGCAACCGACAUAGAAGAAGUCAAGAAAUUCUCUAAGCUCAAGUGGCCCCAAGGAAAUGAUGACAAUUUCAGGUACAACUUGAUUUAUUUAUCCUCAUCUUAUCAAUUCUUACUAGUAAAUCCAACAAUUAAUUAGCGCGCAAUGUAUUGAAAUGAUCCCAAGCGAAUUGCACCUUCAAUUUGUUUCCUUUUAUGAAUAAUUGUUAGUGGGAUCAUCCAUGAAUAUGCAAAUCUGAUAGCGAAGUUGGAACAGGUGGUGACUCGAAUGGUUUUCGAAAGCUAUGGGGUAGAGAAGCUGAAGUGUGAUUCUCACAUAGAUUCAAUCACGUACUUGCUUCUGCUCAACAGCUACGAGGCGCCUGGAGUAGACGAUGAAUAUCUUUUAACUUGAGGAUAUUUUGUAAUACAACAACUGCAGUGUGAAUUGUAGCUCUUCUUUUUUUUUCUGACAUUUUCUUACGGAAUUUUCGGCAAAUAAAUCUAACUCCCCAGAGUAACUCCAAAAGCCGGCAACUUUUGGAGUCCUGUGAGAGACUUAUAAACCUAAAUCCCAACCCCCCCAAUACCGAUGUGGGAUAGAAAACCCCACAGAGUGCCCCGCUACUAAGAGAUAAAGACCCCCCAAGCCUCUGAGAAUGAGUUUUCUUUCUGACAUUUUCUUAUGAAAGUAAGAAUUUUCGGCAAAUAAAUCUAACUCCCCACAGUAACUCCAAAAGCCGGCAACUUUUGGAGUCCUGUGAGGGACUUAUAAAACUAAACCCCAACCCCCCAAUACCGAUGUCACAGGGGUGAAUUGUAGCUUUACUGCAGUGUACUUGAUGAUGACAGCAAUGAAAGUUACAGAUUUACCAAAAAAUAAUAAUAAUAAUUUUUAAAGUCACGUUCUUUAAAAUUUUUGCUGCAUUUCCUUUUGUUUCUGUAGAAACUGGAACAUGGAGAAAAUUCUUAAAUUGUGAUGAAAAAAAAAGUUAUUCUACAAAGGGGGUAAUUUUUGAAGUUGGUUCCAGACUUGUGAUCUUCGCAUUUGUGAAAUGCGAGUUCAGAUAACUCGCAUUUCACAAAUGCGAGGUAAGUGUUUCCAGAAAAAAAGAAAAAGAAGAUCGCAUUCUCCAAAUGCAAGCUUCUUAAGCUCGCAUUCUGCGAAUGCGAGAUUAUGUACCUCGCAUUUCUUAAAUGCGAGGUACUCGAUCUGAAAACAAUCAGAUAAGCAAAUUGGCUACAAUAUGGACUCGAAAGGGGGGUGCUUGGAAACGUUAAAUAAAACAAGAUAAGCAUGUAUUUAAUAAACUUAUAUUCAAUUUAAUUAGGAAUUCUUGAUUAACAUUUUGGCAUGAUGCGUAAUAAUGUAUAGGGGGUUAGAGGGAAUAUUAACUUAAAAUAUUAACUAAAAAUAUGUAUACAAGACAAGCAUGUAUCACAUUUGCUUGUACUACUAAAAUAUUAACUAAAAUAUUUGUACCAUAGUCUUGUGCUACUAAUUCUAAUUUAUUUUUCCAGUUGCAGAGAAUGGACACUCGCUUGGCACGUAUAGAUGAUCAUUUAGGCAUUACUCCACCUCAGGGUGGAGCAGAUGAAGAUGACGAUUGAAGCUGCACCAUUAGGAUCACUAUAUUAUUUGUACAUGGAUUUGCUUGCAUUUUGUUUUUAAUCUGUGGAAUGUUGGAUGUUUAACUUGAUUUUACUUUUUCUGGUUUUUAAUUUACUAAAGACUUGUGCUUUUGCAGUGGUUUGUGAUUAUUGGCUAACAAGUUGCUUGGAUUAAAUGUUGUCUAUUUUGGGUUUUCUGAUAGGGAGUUUAGUCCACUUUUUAAUGGGAGAUUCUGUCAUAAAUUUUCCAAAAAAAAUUUAUAUAUAUUUAAUCAUAAUAAAUUACAAUGAACAAAUAAAAUGUUUUUCAAAUAUCCUAGUGAAAUAAAUAUAUGUGGUUUGGAAAUAUUUUUUCUCAUUUAAUUUGAAAAUGAUUAUUAUGUGAUUAUAAUUUUUGCAUUUAUAGGAAAGUAUAUCUUUUAAUCUAUAAGAUAAAUAAUCACAUAAUAAUCAUUUGAUUUUUUUUAAAACAAUCUCUUUAUUAAUCAACUGCAAUGAGGGAAAAAGAAACAAAAAGCAAACUGCUACCUAACAAGCUAACGAAACUCUACUCCUACGAAGGCUCGGAACGCCCAACCGAUCCAGAGUAAUAUCACCUCUCACCAGGCGAGGCAAGUCAGAGAACGAACCAUACGUUGAAUUAAUCCCAAAGUCCACCCCCACAUUGGCCAAUCUAUCCGCAGGCCUAUUCGCUUCUCGAAAACAAUGGGAAAUCUCCCUAAUAUACCGUCUAGCUUCCAUCAGCUCUUGUAAACCACUUUGCAACUGCCAUGGACACCUCACUGUACCCCUAACAAUCUGAACUAGCACCAAAGAAUCUGAUUCGAUGUGCAACUCACGAUACCCCCGAUCCAAGGCCAACCUAAUCCCAUGAAGAAGCGCCUUCAAUUUCGCCUGCAGACUCGUCAGCUCCCCAAAAAAACAUGAGAACCCUAACAGAAACCUUCCCGCACAGUCGCGAAUGACGCCUCCUCCUCCACUCUUGCCAGGAUUACCCCUAGAGCAUCCGUCAGAGUUUAGCUUCACCACCGACUGCACCGGACACUGCCAUCGAACAAUUUGCACAUGGUAACGCCGAGCCAAACCAGCUACAAACUCAAAAAAACUCGGCCACCCUCGACAAGAGGUUACAGAAUUUUUAAACCUAAUCCGAAACAGGUCUCGCAGAUCACAAAAAAUUCUAUCACAGACUAUAGUAACAGGCAAAAGCUGACCUUCGAACACAAAUUUAUUCCGCAUUUUCCACAAAUUCCAACAUAUCAAAGAAGGCAACAAACGAAAGAGAACCUGAAGAAAUGGGUUCCGAGUAGGCUUCAACCACCAGCUAAUCACCUUAUGUCGUAUCGUCGAGGAAACACCAAACCCUCCCACCACCACUUCAAAGUUAGCCCAGAUUCGCCGUGCAACCUCCCCAGUACAGAAAAUAUGGUCCAGAGACUCCUGGCAUGGGAAGGAGCAACAAAAACACCGAGACGGCCCGACAACCCCAAACUUGUGCAAAAUAUCCAUCACUGGCAGUUUGCCUCCCAGCAGACGCAGCAUAAAAAAUGAAACGUUACAUGGCAAAUCCUGACUCCAGAUCGAGGAAUACAGACAAGACCUGUUACCAACCCCUCGAGCAAUUUGGUAGGCCGACGAUAGGGAAAAAUUCCCUGAGGUACUGGGAGACCAGACCAUUCUGUCCGAGUGCGCCUCAGCGGGAGGUACAACACUCAAGAUCUGCCCCGCCAACCAGCUGGGCAAGACAGAGCGUAGCCUCUGCUCAUUCCACCGACCGUGCUCCACGAAUUCGGAAACUGCAUAUUCCUGGAAAGUAUCCACCUGGCGGCAUAACGGACCUUGUCCUAACCAAUCAUCAUGCCAAAAGCUUGCCGAACCGUUGGACAAGAUCCAGCGAAUAUGUUUCUCAGCAACCCCCUGAAUAGAUACCAAUCUCUUCCAAGUCCAAGAACUCCCCAGCAAGACUUCAGCAAAACAAGGGUGAGAGUUCGGGCAAUAUUUACAAUGCAAAAACUCAGCCCAUAAGGACUUCCGCAACCUAAACUGCCACCACAGUUUCAUUAAGAAAGCCUCGAAAACAUGCCUCAACGACCUCAACCCAGCAUCUCCCCUGUCAUAUGGCUGACACAACUGUUCCCAUUUGAUCCAGUGGAAACGCAGCCCCCCCUCAGAGGAGCCCCAAAGGAAAUUAGCAACGUCUUCUCCAGCAUCCCAAAAAUAGCUUUGGGAGGAGUCGAUGCCGCAAGAAUAUGAAGAGGCAUAGAAGAUAGCACACUCUUGAUCAGUACCAGCCUACCACCAUGCGACAAUAACCUCCCCUUCCACGAUAGCACCCUGCCCAGUAUGGAAUCACAAAUUGCCGAAAAAUAAACUUUCUUCCUCCGUCCGACAUAUAAGGGACAACCCAAGUAUAUAACUGGAAACUCCCUCGAGGAAAACCCCGUGAGUUCUCCAAGCAUACGUUUCCUCGCCCUAGGAAAGUUGCUAUGGGUCAAAAAACAACUCGUUUGAUGGUUCACCUGCUGACCUGAUACCAAAGAGUAAUCUUCCAAAGCUUUCAACACCAAACGAACUGACCUCUUCAGCCCGCUAGAAAAGAUAACGACAUCAUCGGCAUAAGCCAGAUGCGUAACCUUCGGGCAUCCUUGAGAUACACUAAACGGUGAGAAGAGCGGGGAGGAAAGCAACGAAUUUAACAGGCGAGAAAGAACCUCGGCACCGAUCACAAAAAGAGCUGGAGAAAUAGGGUCCCCCUGCCGUAGCCCACGACUAGAUUUAAAGAAACCUUGUGGGACACCAUUAAUCAAAACCGAAAACCAGACAUUCGAAAUCAGCCUCCAAAUCAUAUCAAUCCAUCUCUCUCCAAACCCAAACUUACGGAAAACCUGUAACAAAAAAGGCCAAGAGACUCUGUCGUAGGCCUUGGCCAUAUCCAACUUCAACACUACAUUGCCCCCUCGAUUAGAUUUCCGAAUAUCAGAUAUCAACUCCUGAGCCAACAAAAAAUUCUCAAAAAUCUGCCUUCCCUGAACAAACCCACUCUGUUGCGGAAAGAUAAUACUCGGCAGCACCUUUGACAAACGGUUGGCCAACAGUUUCGAAAUGACUUUAUUGACAAAGUUACAAAGGCUUAUCGGCCGAAAUUGACUAAAAUCUUGCGGGGAAGUUACCUUGGGAAGCAGCAUUAUCCACGUCGAAGAAACGCUUCUCGGCAACUCAUGACCACAAAAGAAACUAAUCACUGUUUCACACAAAUCAUUGCCCACCACCUCCCACACAAAUGUAAAAAAAGGUGCCUGUAAAUCCAUCUGGCCCACCCGCACUCUCCCCAUCCAUUUUAAACACCACCUCCCUUACCUCCUUGUGAGAUGGAAACCGCUCCAAAUCAGCAUUUUGAACAUCGGAAACAACCUUAGGAAUUACGUCCAAAAUACUCCAUGACCCGCUGGCAGUCUCCUCCGAAAGUAAGGAUUUGAAGAACUCAACCCCAAUAGCAGACCCCUGAGCUUCAUCUGAUAUCCACUCCCCCUGGUCAUUCUUAAUUCGGUGUAUGAUAGACUUUGCUCUUCUCUCCGCCACUAUCGAGUGGAAGUACUUAGAAUUUUUGUCCCCGUCCUUAAGCCAUUUGACCCGUGCCUUUUGCCUCCAAAACCCUUCCUUCGUUGCCAGAGAAUUCCUCAUUAUAGCACGAGCCUCCUGGAGAGCCAACCAAUGCGACUGAGAAGGCUCAUUUCCAAACGCAUCCUCUGCAGCUGCUACCUCGCCCUCCGCCCUCUUCACCGCGUCAAAAAUGUUACCAAACUCCACACGAGACCAAACUUGAAGGUCCCGUUUAACAUUUCGCAAUUUAGCAGAUAAACGUUGCAAAGGACGCCCAGAACAAGGGGCUGCCCAACUCCUCCUAAUGACAUCCAAAAACCCAGGCUUCGUCGUCCAAACAUUCAAGAACCGAAAAGGUUUAGGCUUGUUAUCCAGCCUCGUCGACGAUGACAUUAAAAGGGGGGCGUGAUCCGAAGGCUCCCUCCCUAGAUGUUGAACCCCCCUGAAAGAACGGCCGUUUGAUUGACAAGCAUUCUGUCCAGGUGUUUCCAAAUGCAAGCCAUACCCCCCCUAUUAUUACACCAAGUGAAAGGGGACCCCGAAAAACCAACAUCCGAAACACCCGCCAUCGACAUGAAAGUUCUAGGCUCCACUCCUUCAUCUACUCGAAAAGGCAAGUCGCCCCUCUUUUCCUCCGCGCUAACAGUGACAUUGAAAUCACCCGCCAACAUCCAAGGGUGCUCCGCCAGAUUUUCCGCUAACAAAGUUGACCAAAGCAAAGAUUGCUCUUGCUCAUUACACUUUGCGUGGAUAAAAGAAAAAUAAAUUGGACCUGAUAGAAGCUGAGAAGUGAUUUUAAGCGACAAAUGCUGAGAGGAUUCUCCCACAAAGGCACAAUCAAAAGAGUUUUUAAAGAACACCCAAAUAGACCUCUGGCUAUUCACCAUCCAACUAUCCAUCCUGAGCCGUGCUCCAAACACAUGAAUGUCACAUGGUAACGCCUUAGGCUCACAAAUAGCCACUAAAGGAAUUGAGAACUCAUCAAUUAACCGUUUUAACCUAUGAAAAAUUUACAAAUUUAUUUAAUAAUAAAAUUAGGUGUUUUCAACCGUAUGAUUAUCAAAUCUUUUAAUCUAUAAGAAAUAUAACUUUUUGGUUAUUUAUAUAAAAAUAAUUACUAGUACAUAAAAUUUUGUACUGAGACCUCACAUUUGUUAACUUCUAACUCUUGUGAGUUUUAAAAUAAAAAGGAUUUAUUCCUCUAUGAUAAAUGUCAAUGCAAAAACAAAAAUGAUUGUGUGCUCCUAAUUUAAAAAAAUUUUGAAUAUAAUUUUUUAGGAAUUUGUUUUUAUCGGAUGUGAGAUACAAUAAAGCCGAAAGCAUACUAGUUCGGUUAAGAUUUAUUGCCCCAAAUUAUUAUCAAGUAUUGAUGGCAAUAUUAUGGGAUCUUUUUUUUUUCCAAUUUUGAUGAAUUUACAGCCUUAGGUAGUAAAAUUUGUAGAGAUUUUCAUUGCAAAUUGUAAAUCAUUUUAUAAUUUGCAGUGAAAUCAUAAAGCAAGGGAAGGCCUGCAUUGGAACUGAAGCAAAAAGAAAAAUCAUGGCAAAAUCUAGAUUCAUGUUCUUGAAAAUAAUUUGAAGAUGGUAAAUAGUGAAUUUUGGCUCCAGUUUCAUCACUGGCAUGAUGAAACACGCACGGCUUCUAACUUAUGUCAAUUGUUUGAGCAGCCUUUUUAUGUAAAAUUGCAGCUUGAUCACGCUCACUGGACCCACUUGGGAUCCUCGGUGACAUGUUUUCUAUGCCAACCCAAUGCCACCUAUAAUAUUGUGCCAAGUGUCCUGUUAUUAUUUACACUUGUGUUAAACCAAACUAAGUUGAAUUAUUAAAAAAUUAAAGUGUAAAUAAUAAUGGGACACUUGGCGCAAUACUAUAGGUGGCAUUGAAUUGGCAUAGAAAAACAUGUCACCGAGGAUUUCAAGUGCACUGGACCAGGGGCUUCUUUCGUCACAAUGCUCGCUAAAUGCGAGCUGAGUUGCCUAGCCGAGAACCUCGCUUUGUUAAAUGCGAGGUAUAUGACCUCGCAUUUGACAAAUGCGAGGUCUGUUUUUCUUUUUCUUUUUUUUUUAUUUGGAUGCUAGGAAAAUUCAGGGAGACCUCGCAUUCAGCAAAUGCGAGCUCAAGAGCUCGCAUUUGCUGAAUGCGAAGACCCCUGAAGGGAAUCCCAUACAAAAAAUGCUCCCUUUGUAGAAUUUUUUUAAAAAUCAUCGUAAUUUUAGAAAUUUCUCCUGGAACAUGGGCUGCUGGGACAUUUGUACCAAUGGUACGUAAGCUUAGAGUAGAAUUGAACAGGAGAGGCUCCAUCUCCUUAAAUACUGGUACAAGGCGAAAGCUCAGUUACCAGGGCGAAUCCACAAUUCAGUGAACAUAGAGUAGAAUAGAAUCUGUAAUUAGUAGGCCGGUGGGAUCUUUUGAAGUGUAGUAGUAAUAUGGAUUCUUUGGCAGAAACAACCAAGAACCAAGUUGUACUAAAAGAAGAAGAAGAAGAGGAGGAGGAGCACUUCUCGUACGCCAUGCAGCUAGUUACCUCCGCAGGGCUGCCCAUGAUGUUGCUUGCUGCCAUCCGGCUCAAUGUGUUCGAGAUCAUCGCCAGAGCUGGUCCCGGUGCUCAACUGUCGCCUUCAGAAAUUGCGGCUAACGUGUCUUCAGAAAACCCAAAUGCCGCUGCUAUGCUGGAUCGGAUGUUGCGGCUCCUGGCAAGCUACUCUGUGCUCACCUGCUCCGUUGCCACCGACGUGGAUGGUGAUCAUGCUAUCCAAACGCCAACAAGAGUGUAUGGAUUGGCGCCGGUGGGCCAAGUUCUUUGUACAGAACAAAACAAAGGGAGGAGGUUCACUAAGCUCCUGCUGGCCUUGCUUCAAGAUAAGGUCUUCAUUGACGGUGAGAUUUUCACUUUUCUUUUAUCCUGUUUAAUAAAAACAAAAACUCCUAUAGUUGAGAUUACUCCUUUGUGGAUGCAUAGUGCCUGGUCCAAAAGCGAUUCACUACCCUAAGAAACUCCAUUGAGCCCUCUUUCUUUUAUUUUAAUUUUUAGAAAUGAAUAGAAAUGAACUUGUGGCAGGAAUUAUUACAGUCAUGAUUGGCCAAGAAAAAAAAAUGCACGGCUGAAAUUAUGACUUGGGAAUCAUUUUCAACAUUAUGUGUGGAUCCCACCAAAAUAUAUACUGAACUUACACCGUGUUUAAAAUGAUUAACAUUGUAAUCAAAUUCAUUUACAUCUUGUUGAAAUACACAUAACCGGUAAGGAACUGUUCCAGCCCCUAGUCCAUUAAAUAUUAUCAGUGUCUGGAAUAAAAAAAAAACAAAUCACUCCUUUGCUUCUAACUAUGCCUUAACCUACAAGUUGUAAUUCUACGAUGCACGUAGCCAUUUUGUUAGUGAUGGUCUUAAUUCCUCUGCAAAAGGAUUACUUUUAGUGAUUUUCUUCUAAAAUCGCCAAAACAGGAUCACUGGAUUUUGAUAGAACAACACAAGAUAGUGGACUUAAACGACUCAAAUCUCUACUUUGGAUGUAACACAUAAUUCCUUUGUGAAAUAUCAAAUCCAUAGACAAUUACACUUAAAGUAGCACUGACUACUCAAGCCAACAUUAAAGUAGCACUGAAUAAAUUUUGUUCAUAGUUUUCGUUGUGAGUACACGUGUGAACUCUAUGGAUGCUUUUCUUCCUUGCAUGUAUUUAAGAACAAUUCGGCUUGUAAAAAGGCCUCCAUAAAAUAUGCUUUUGGACCCAAAAUUUAGGUACCAAUUAGAAGAUGCAGUUCGCGAAGGGGGAGAUCCGUUUCACAGGGCGCAUGGUACACAUGCAUUUGAAUUUCUUGGAAGCGACCCCAGAUUCAAUGAGGUAUUCAACAAGACAAUGAUCCACCACACAGCUAUCGUCAUAAACAGAAUGCUUGAACGGUACAAAGGUUUUGAGCACCUCAAAACUUUGGUAGAUGUUGGUGGUGGUCUUGGAAUGAACCUCAAUAUAAUCACAACUAAAUACCCUAGCCUCAAGGGUAAUAAUUUUGAUUUGCCACAUGUUAUACAACAUGCACCAGCCUAUCCUGGUAUAAUUUUUGCUCUUCUCCAUUUGUUGCUCAGUUAUGUUUGCUCUUUUGCUUCAUUACCCUUUAAUUAACCAAUUCAAGAUAGCAUGUGAGAACAAAUAAAGAAACAGAUGCAGGCACUUCAAAAUAAUCUCAGUUAAAUUGCAAAACGAAUGAGUUAGUUUUGGGGAAGAAAGACACUUACCAUCAUGAGUUCUAUAAUUUUUUUUUUUGGAAUUAAAGAAGUUUCAAUAUGUUGUACGACACACUGUUAUACUUUAUUAUUUUUUUUGUCAAACAUCAUAAAUUCACUUCAUUUCAUGAACUUGAUAUUACAAGAUUGGAUACAUCAGAAUUUCUCCGUUUGUAAUCCUUUUGUGCACUCUCAUGGAGCCACAUGGGAAAACACUCUUCCCAUUCAACAUUUUUAGUUAGCUUUACCGCAAAUUUUGCUAAGCUAUGUGCACAGCUGUUUCCCGCUCUAUGAACAAAAGAGAAAGUACAUUGUUCAAACAAACAUCUCAUAUUUGCAAUGUCUUCAAGGACAGUAGCUAUCCUGGUAUGCUGGUCCUUUUCCUUGUUGAUCAUGUCCACUACCUCCUUGCAGUCAGACUGGAAUUCUACUUCCUUCCAGUUUGCAUCGUAAGUGACGUGCGCAGGGUAUACAUAUCAAUUUAACCUCAUUCUAAUCAAGUUUUACAUUUAUAAAUUCCUAAACACCCCACACGCGAUUUAUCGCAAGUAUACGAAUCGUGAGCGAGUAUAGGGUAUUAAGGGUCGAUCCCACAAGGAAGAUUGCAAUUACCGGUACUACUAAACCUUCUCUAUUAUUUAGGCUAUCAAUGAAUUAUAACAAAUUUUACCUACUCAAAUUAUACAAAAUAACAAAUAAAAGCUCCUUAGGUUGUGGUAUCCCUAACUACUCAUGCAAGUGCUACAUUUGGAUCAUUGAAUACUACAUUUAGGCUAGUUAUGGUGUAAUUUCCUUAAACAUGUGAAACCUACUUUCGUAGUGAAUCAACUAUACUCAUAACUAAUCCAUACCUAUUUUCAUGGUUAUGAAAUUAGCUACAAGUUCAUUUCUUCAAUGAAAUUACAUGAAAUGAAUCACUAAAAACCACAUAAGUGCACCUCUACUUUCGUGAGUGUACUCCCUAUGUUUAACACUUCUUGAACUAGUGUUAAAUCUCAAUUUUCAUUGCAGAAACAACACCUUAGAUAAUCACAAUUAAUGGUACCAGAUUAAUCAUGAUUUCAAGAGCCAAAGUGCUAAAUAACUUGCUCAAAUACUAGCAAUCAAAUAGCCAAAUAAUAAACACUAACAAUCAUAGAAAGUUCAACCAAACCCAAGGCUUAAACUUUAGAUACACAUAUUAAACACAAAAUCUAGCACUUGUAUAUUAACUAAACUUGGAAUCAAGUACAAAAGAUAAAGAGUUUGGAAGGAAUGUAACCCUUGUCACAUGAGUUCAUCUCCUUGCCUUCUUCAUCCUCCAUCUUCAUCUUUGCCUAGCUAAUAAACAAGAAUGGAUAACACUCUACUCUAUACUAACCUACUGCUACUACUCAGAAAAUGCAAGAGCUACAUCUCUGCACUCCAAGUUUUCUCCCGUAUGUCUCCUAUUUUUUUCUGCUAUGAACUCCAAUCUCCUUUUGCUCUAUCUCCUCUCUCCAUUUUGCAAUGAAUUUGGCUAUUUAAUGAUGAAAGGUGGUCAAGAAAUGAAGCUUUACACUUUCUCCUUACAGCUGGUAAUGUCUCUCACAUGUCUAGCAUCACAUGUGAGUUGGUGGAGGUGAAAUUGAGUUUUACGCGUAUAAAGCAGCCUUUUCUGACCAGUGAUCCGAGCUGCUACAGUGCCUCGGAUCCACUAACCCAGAAACAGCCGAGGGUUCGGAUGAAUAGUGGAUCCGAGUGUGGAUCACUUGCUCUGUUUUUGGCCCAACUUCAACCGAUCUUUUCUUGAUGUUAGAGGCUGAACCAGCUCAUGUGUAAAACACGAAAGUUGUAGCCUUUUGAGUUAUCUUUCCAAUGCAUCAAGAAUCACCUCAUUUGGAUCUGUGUAGGCUGAGAUAUGACUGAAAUACCCUUGCCUGCUCCAUGCCUUGUUCCAGUUUCGAUCAAUAGCAAUUGACUCUGUAUUUCGGCUUUUUUGACCUGGAAAACCUUCAAACUGGAUUCGGAUAUCUUCACCAAAGUUGUAGAUCUAUCUCUUGUCUUCAAAUGGGUUCAAGAAUCAUCCCAAUCCGAUCAUUGUGGCUUAAGUUAUAGCCGAAAUACGAAAAUGUAUCAAAACUGUCAAAAUACACAAAAUCCAAGUAAAAAGUGAUAAAAACCUCAUUUAAUUGAACAAAAGUAUUUUAUACCAAUUAUAGCCAAAAUGAAUUAUUUUCUUCCAAUAAUAUACCCAAAGUGACUAAAAAUAAUAUAAAAUAUCAUACAAUUAUUACGUAAAUUAGUCACUUAUCAGUAAGCCAUUUGCAUUCCCAUCCGAAUUGCUGCUGCUUCCUCCACUUGUGGCUCGCUAACUUUUAGUUCAGCUCUUGCCCAAGCUUUCAUCAGUUUUCCUUCUUCAUUCCUAGCCACAGCACUUAUGCCUGUUCUCUUCAUGUUUUGUGAGAAUGCAGCAUCAGAAUUUAUCUUUAUCUGUCCUCUUGAGGGUGGCUUCCAUGCCUCGCUGCUAUUUGAGCUUGUUGUUUGUUGAAUGAACUUUCCAUCUAAACUUUUUUGGGCUUCUCUAUACUCAUUCCAUUCUACCAUAGCUUUUUGUACUGACUUCCUUGGAUCUGCAUCUUUUUCAUCAAAAGCUUUCCUGUUCCUCGUCUUCCAUAUUUGCCAGAGGAUAUUUACAGUUAGCGCUAUAUGUUCCUUACCUUGUUCCCUCUUUUUUGUGCCUAAUAUCCCUUCCCACCAUCUUACAAAAUUGCUUCUCAUAUCCUUCAAACCAUCCCAUUGUAUUGGUGCUAGCUUCCAGGUGGUUUCAGUAGUGUUGCAAAAAAACAGCAUAUGUUCAAUUGUUUCCACCCCUUCCCCACAACUUCUACACAUUGGACUGCCUUUACCUGUUCUCCUGCUUAUUUGUUCAUUUACUGGUAGGCUAUGAUGUAAACACCUCCAGAUGAAAUGUUUUAGUUUGUGUUUCAUCUGUAAGGACCACACCCCUUUCCAGAUUUUUGAGCUCUGUUGGGCAUAGCUCGUUCCCCCUCUAUCCUCUUGCAUCCUUUCCUUGUGCUGUUGCUGACUUGUACUCAUUGCUACAUCAUAGGCUGACUUCACAGUGAACACGCCUGAAUUGGUGUAUCUCCAAUAUAGUAUAUCUUGGCAGCCUGUUAUACUUAGUGGUAUAGCCUUUAUCUUCUGGAUAUCCUCUUCUAUAAACCAACGAUUCAGAGUUCUUUGAUUCCAUUUUCCAUCUGUUAUCAGUUCAUCUACUUUCCUUAUGGUGCACUGUGGAUCUCUCCGAGUUUUUAUCCUGCCAUCAUCACUCCCUGGUACCCAAAUAUCCUGCCAAAUAUCGAUUGUUUUUCCAUUCCCUACUCUCUUCCCUAUCCCUUCUGUCAAUAGUUUCCUGCUUCCCAUUAUGCUUUUCCAGAUCCAAGAAGCUGCUCGAGGUGGAUCCUUGUUCCAGUUCUGUGGUUGUGCUAGAUACUUAGCCUUCAUCACCUUACUCACCAGCAAAUUUGGACUGGUGAGUAUUCUCCAUAGUUGCUUGGCUAAGAGAGCUUCAUUGAAUUUUUCCAAGUCUCUAAAACCCAAUCCCCCUCUACCUUUCACCUGAGACAUUUUUUUCCAGCUAGUCCAAUGUAUUUUCCUCUCUUUCUCUCCCCCAUUCCACCAGAACCUAGCUAUCAUCUGACUUAUAUCCUUACACAGCACUUUGGGAAGUUUGAAGCAUGACAUGGUACAUGUGGGAAGAGCCAUUACCACUGAUUUGAUAAGAGUCUCCCUUCCUGCUGGGCUUAACAGGUUUCUCUUCCAUCCUUGUAGCUUGUCUUUUACCUUUUGUUUGAUAUAGCCAAAAACCUCACUACAAGAAAAUUGUUCAUCAGUGACAACACAAAGUCAUCACAGAACAUACAAAUAUCGUCACAAAUACCUUUCAUUGACGACUUUUUGAUCGUCACAAAGUCGUCACUAAAUCCCCGUCGGUAAAAGUAAACAGUGACGACCUAAAAUGUCGUCACUAAAUAGUUGUCAUUAGUGACGACCUUAAGUAGAGCAUUUUUGACAAAAGGUCAAUUCGUCAAUAAAACACUUCCGGAUUGUCGUCACUAAUGACAACUAUUUAGUGACGACAUUGUCGUCACUAAAUAGUUGUCAUUAGUGACGACAAUCCGGAAGUGUUUUAUUGACGAAUUGACCUUUUGUCAAAAAUGCUCUACUUAAGGUCGUCACUAAAAAGCACCGAAAGCCAUUGUAUAUAACUAUUUUACUGACAACAAUUGUCGUCACAAAUGUAGCUUAGAUUUAGUGACAGUCUCUGUUGUGACAAAGAGUUUUUAUUUUCUAUUUUGUGACAACUUUUUUUUGUCAUUAGAUAAUUUCUCAUUAGUGACAGCCUCCAAAGGUUGUCACUGAGCUUUGUUUUGAAGAGUUGAAAUUAACCAUUAUGGAUAUAGCAUUGUCAUAGCAAUUUCAACAAAUUAUAGUAGAACAUUCAAUUUGACAAAAGGCAAAAUUCAUGUAGAAUGAAGCUACAAAUUCAUAUAUAUGGCCAUAAACAUUUGUGAAUUCAUCAAAAUAGAAGUUAACCAGAAAUGUUGUGUCCCAAAACCCACAUAAUCAAUUCAAGCACUAAUGGCCAAUAUGCAUCCUUCCCAAAAAAUAGAGUACUAGCUUUCUAAACUAAAGCAAAGAUUGCACCACCAAUGUCGGACUUCAACCAUCUCUAUCAUCAUAUCCAACAAUCUCCUCGUGAUCAAUAUCAAACUGGACUGCAUUGAGAAUAAAAUAUUAUAUGCAUUAGAAUAGACUUUAGUAAAAAAAAUAUGCUAUUACAACCUUACACAAGUUAUCUAAGUACAAGAAACAGUUAAAAAGUUGUGUAUUAUCUAAGUACAAGAAGUUAACAAGAAGUUUAGAUUAUAAGGACUAGAAACUGACAAUGAAUUGAGUUUCAUAUCCUCUACAUGCCAUUUUAAAUUAUUCACAAGCAUUAUAUUGUGAUAUUGGAUAUCUUCUUUAUUAAAAAACUUGUUCAAAUCACAUUAUGAGAACAUCUAACUUUUUGAUUAUCAAAGUAAUUGACUUCGAGGCCUGGAACAGCAAGUACUUUUGUCAGUGGACAAGGUUAGAUCAUAUUGGGUGAGUUUGCAUUGCUCCAUAGUUGAAGUGAUUUUACUUGAGUUCUGUCCACAAACUCUUUGGUUGUCACAAUGAAGUAAUCUCAAUUAGCCAAUACGGCAUAAAUAUCCACUUGUGAAAAUACAUAAGGAGUUCCUCAAAAAAUAGGUAAUUUUGGAAAUUUACUGAUUGUUGCUAAGUGUGGUUCCUAGCACAGAUCCACAGAUGUACUCUUAGUGCUAGCUAUGGUCCAUCCCAAAUUCGAUAAUCAGAAGCAACUCCAAUCUAUUACUUACUCACACAACCAUCUAACAAUCACAGGACUUCUGAUAGUCAUAAAAUAACUGAUGUUCUACUUCAUGUACUGGUCAUAUCACUUAUACCAAUAUCACCAAAUCCUUUAAGCAAACAAGAAAACAAAAACAGAUAACCAGCAUGAUAGCUGUUUUGAAGACAAAUUUAUAGUAACAAGGUCGGAAUUUGUUUACCUACUUGGAUGAAACAUCGUAUUCAUCUUCCCAACCAGUACAGGCCUUCUCUGAUGAAGAAAUCUUCCGAGACUUAUCCUUUAACUCUCUCUACGUGGCAUCUCCUUGGAAGAUGAAAGAACCAAUGAGGGAGCAAGAAGAGAGAAGAGAUUUGCAGCAGAUAAUGAGAAAUGUAUAUUGAUCUAGAAGGUUGCCAAAGAGAAAAUCAUUAUUGUCAAAUGACCAGGAUAAAUGUUUCUUGGUAUACCACUAGGAACAUGAUAAAAAAGAUACAAAGAUAAAUGUUCACAAGUAAAUCUUGGAAGCCCUUGGUAAGUGUCUUGGCAAGUCACAUAAUCAUACCUGACCUAAAAAAUAUCAUUUCAUUUUACUGGUCACAAACCCAUAGCAAGUUGAGAGGCCAAAAUGCCACACCUCAAUAUCGUAGCUCAGUGAAUCACACUUGCUUACGAUAUAUACUGCCCAAUAUGUAAUAGAAAGAGACCUCCCCAACAAGUGAAAAAAAGUAAUCAGACAUCAAGAAAAUUGAUUGCGAGUAAGUAUUUGGGGUCUGGAGAUUACAAAAAGGAGCUUACACAGUCAUUCAAACGUUACUUACACUCAUGAUAGCAACAGACUGGCUGUAUAUUUCAUGGCUAGAAACAGUAGCUAGUUUCAAGUACGAAUUGGUACAAAUGACCGUGAUAUCAUGGACCAAAAGGUUUAAAUUAAAAAAAUCUUAAAGGUAGUUAUGAGAAUUAGAACAAGUCGUGUAGGUGCAACUAAAGACAAAGGACUUGAUAAAUAGACAAAUAAAAAGAGAUGGCCAAAAAGGUUCUUUCUGGAAAGAUUACUGUAACUUUUUACAAUUAGCUGCAAUUUCAAAUUGGAAUGGUGAACUCCCUGCUACAUCUGCCUACUCUGCCUAUAAGCUGACAUUGACAUGAAUACUGAGCAAGUGAAAGAGAAACUGGACUUGGUUAUGAAAAUAAUAGGACCUAACGAUAAAGAGAUCAUAGCGAUGGCAAUUACUGCUAAAGCCAACCUAAAUCCCAACUUUACAAAAUAAAGAAAACCAAAGAAUUCAAUUCGCCAAGGAUUCGAGCAAGGAUAUUGAGACUGAGGUACAUAUCCUUUCAGAAUGCCCAAAAGCCUAAUGGUCGGACAAAUUUGUUAGCUCAGGAAGCUGCAAAUGAACAAGAUAUGCUCAAUUUACAAGAAUGGGUAAGUGUGAAUAUGAAGGAAAAGCUAGAGAUUAGGUCGGUGCUAUCUGUUUCCUUUCUUUUAAUUCUGGUAGCAAUUAACUGGGAAUGCUUUUGAAUACUCAUUUGCUUGGAUAGUUGGACCAUCAAACGUCAAAGCAGUAAUCCAUUCAUUAUAUUUCUCCUAACCAUUACUAGCAGGGGAAACUAGACUGCUAAAGCGUACACACAAAUAUGAUGAACUAGUAAAAUUCGUAUCAACAAACUAGAUUGCUCAACUAAUACCGGUAACUAGUGUUCAAAUUCAUAUGUCUAAAUAAUUCUAGCAAAAGGAAUUACCCUUGCUUGCACUGAUGAGGAAGAACCCAUCUGGAGUAAUUGGGCUGUAAAACAAAUCCACAACUGGACGAGAAUGACCAUGGCAAACAAGGGGAACAUCACCCUUUUCUUAUCCAUUACUUAACCGAUCCAGCGAAAAAGAAAAAAAAUGAAAGAAAAUUAUAACUUUUGGGAUCAGCAAUCAUAAAAGUACAAUUGGAAGUAGCAGACACAUGGGAUGAGAAAAAGUAAACUGCAAGUUUUCAUUUAAAACAACCGUUUAUAUCCAACUCCACAAAAGGAUGAAAAGCAACAAUCUUUCUUACUUUUACCAAAAAACCAAAUCAAGACUGAAGCGUUCACCUCUUAAAAAUAACUCAGAUUUCAGAUUUUAUGAAAAGCCAAAAUGGAUCAGCUCGUUCAUUAUUCUUAGCUAUAAGAAAUAGCACUUCCAAAGAGACCUGACGAAUUUGACCAAAUUUUGCUAGAACCCAAAUCAAGAUUCACAGCAUUCUAGCCAAAAAUCACUAACAAAGAAUCAAUUCAUGAAAAUCCAACAAAUCUAUAAGAGCAGAACAGAAGGGAUUCAAAACUUGUUGAUGCUUAAAUCAGAGACUAACAAGAUUGAACCUAAAAACUAAAUCUGACGAAACAGAGAAGGUGCAACUAGCCGUACCCACAAAAAAUAUAUACCAUGCAUUGCAAAAUCAGACACAUAAUAUUGAAAUUACCUCAAACUAUACCUUCAAUCCCUAACUUCUCAUUUUUCCCAAGCUUCAAGCUCUAAACUCCAGCUUUCACCCAAAUUUUCAAGCCCUAAUUUUUUAUUUCUUGCCACCAAGCCAGUGUAACAGCUGAAUUAGGUAUGUUGGUGGUGCGAACUUGAUAAAGUUGCCUAAAUUGAUGACAAUGGCAAACUUCAGUUCAUGAUGGAUUUGGUAGUGCGAGCUUGAAAGAGAGGAGUUCAUCUUCGGGGAAGUGAGAAGGACAAAGAGAAAGGGAAAAAGUGUCUGAAAUUUUGGCUAAGUGUUUUGGACAUAGAGUGCAUACUAGUGAAGCAAACGAUGUCGUUUCCUCAAAAUUCCUUUGUCCGCCAUGCCUCUUGAAUUUUUUAGUUUGCCGCUCUUUGUUUUGUACGUAUAAAUAACACACAUUCUUCCUAUAUAGAUGCAAGAAAAUCACACUUUGUUUGUCCUUACUCCUACCUCUCUCUUUUUUCUUUUUCUCAUCUUUAUGUAAUUAAGUUUUUUUAUUAUUUUUUUUACUCUCAAGUUGUAUUAAAAUAAUAGAAUAUGACAAUUUAGUGUGUUUGGGCAAAAUUUUUUUAACAUUUUUAACUAAUAUAGGACUUUUCUAAUUUAUUAUACAAUAAAAUAAUUUACAAACUAAAAAUGUUGUUAGAAAUAUGUUUAUGAUUUGAAAAAAAUAAACAUUCUUUUAUCAAAAUCUUUUUGGUACUCAUUUUAUGGUGUUAUCAAUUAUGUAUGACUUGUAAUCUAACAAACCAGAGAACCAAAUUAGUUGAUCGAACAAUCAAAAUAGUUUAUAUUCAGUUUUAUUGUUAAAUUCUACCAUUGACUACCUCUAUUUUUAGAUUAUCAUAAUUAUUUAUUUUCCACCAUGUUGCCAUCAAGAUAAAUAGGAAAUGUAUGAUUUUUUUUUAUAUUUAUAACAAAUUAUUGUUAAAUUGUUACAUUACUGCAAGUGAUAAAUGUACUUUUGUUCUUUUUCAAACAUUUAUUUUAAUGUUUAAUUUUGUUUAAAACUAUUGUACUAGUAUAGAUUUGCAAGACAAAACUUAAGUUCUCAAUAGUUAAAAAAUUCAUUACAGAGAAAACACAAAGUAGUAGUUGCAAAAUGUGUAUAAAUUACAGAUAUUUUAAUGUGUAUAAAUUACAGUUUAUUUUAAUGUUUAAUUUUGUUUGAAACUAUUUUACUAGUAUAGAUUUGCAAGACAUAGAUUUAUGGGUAAUUUCUUUUUUUUUUCCUUUCACAUAUUUAAUUUAUGUUAAAUACAAAACCUACCAGUUUCCCUUUCAUAAAAAUAUUAGUGCAACACUUUUUGAAUUUUACUUACAAACAUUUAUGUAUUUAACAUAAAUUAAAUGAUUCAGAGUGAAAUGCCCAUAAAGAGCAGAAUAUUUGUUCAUGUAAUGGAGGAAACCCACAAAGAGUUGGUACUUUAUGGGCCAUUUCUUUUUUUAAAAAAAUUUAAUUUAUGUUGAAAAGAUAACCUGCCAGUUUUCGUUUUGUAAGAAAUUAGUGUAACACUUUUUGAAUUUUACUUACAAACAUUUAUAAAUUUAUCAUAAAUUAUAUGUUUGAGAGUAAAAUGCCCAUAAAAAGUUGGUACUUUGAAUAGAUAAUGCUCAUUUGCCCAUAAACUACACUCCCUGAAGGCUAUUUUGUUAAUUACUUUGUAGUACUUUGUUAUUCCUUUGCUAAUACUACUUGGCAUGUAGUACAAAGGAUAAAUCUGGCAUAAAUUUCUUAUUCCAUUGAUAAAAGACCUGCCUGCCUUUAUAACUAUUGUAAUGAAAGAUAUAUCUUUAGAGUUUAUAAUAAAUUAUUACUUAAGUUUGAGAAAAUUAUAAAAUAUUUAUGCAUAGUUUAUCAAGAUACCAUUCGCAAUUUCCUAAUAAAAAAAUAGGGGCUAAAUUGUAAAAGCUAGGGUGCCAUAAUAGAAAUAAUAAAAUUGGUGUAUUACAUAUGGGGGUUAAAUAGCAAAAGUUAGAGUGCCAUAAUAGAAUUAAUGAAAUUGGUGAAUUACAUAUGGGGCUAAAUUACAAAAGUUAGGGAGUAAUAAUAGAAUUAAAGAAAUCGGUGUACUACAUAUGGGGCUAAAUUGUAAAAGUUAAGGUAUCAUAAUGGAAUUAAUGGAAUUUUUACAACAUUUGGGGCUAAAUCGCAAAAGUUAGGGUGGCACAGUAGAAUUAAUGAAAGUGACUUAGAAAUAAGUACUUUAAACAGUGACGAUUAAUUCUUGUCACUAAAUCCGAAUCGGUAGAGUGACAGUGACAAUAUUAGAAGUUGUCACUAUAUAGAUCAUUUUAGUGACAACGUUUUUCAAGGUCUCCUUGUCGUCACUAAGCAACCACGUUUUGUGACGACUUUUGUCGUCACUAGAAAAUGUUGUCACUAAUGACCAUAUUUCUUGCAGUGUAGUUUGUGACGAAAAUAACGGGUUGUCACUAAACAUUUAGUUGCUUUGAUGCAAUUGGGACAACUUUAGGUGUCGCGACUAAAGAAGCUCCUUUUGUGACGACUUAUUGUCAUCACUACAAAAUAUUGUCACUAAUAACUUUUUUUUUAGUGAUCAGUGACAAUAACAAAAAGUCGUCCGUAAAUAGGCCAAGCAAUAGUGAUGAUGUUCUUAAUGUCGUCACUAUUGUGUGUUCUAAACACUCCCGCGCUCUUGCUAAAUCUUGGCGCGAAUUUACUAGUGAUGACUUAGAAAAGUCGUCACAAAUGAGUUGGCUCCCAUUAGAGGUUUGUGACGAGUUAGAAAGUCGUCAAUAAAGGAUCCACUUUUGUGACAACUUUUUUUCGUCACAGAGAAAAGUUGUCACUGAUGACCAAUUUUCUUGUAGUGCCUGUUGUUUUGAUCUGCCUAUCAUCAUAGGGAGUCCUAAGUAUUUCCCACUUGCAGCUUCCUUCAUAUUUCCAAGCCCCGGACAUAUGGUCUUCCUCAAAUCUUUGUUUGUGUUUGCACUAAAGAACACAGCAGAAUUUUCAUAGUUGAUGACUUGUCCUGAAGCUCGUUCAUAUAUAGCAAACAUCCCUUUCAUUUGUUCAGCUUCCUGGAUACUAGCUUUACAGCAGAAUAGAGAGUCAUCAGCAAACAGUAAAUGAGACAGCAUUGGACAUUCCUUCCCUACUUUGACACCUGUUAGAGCUUUACUGUUUAGUCUCUGGUUCAUCAGGUUGGACAGCCCCUCAGCACAAAUAAGGAAUAAAUAAGGGGAAAGGGGAUCUCCUUGUCUAAUACCCCUGGAUGGUUUAACAUAUCCCACCUUUUGGCCAUUUACAUUAAAAGAGUAAGCAGCAGUUGUAACACAGUUGAGGAUCCAUUUUACCCAUAUGGGACAGAAUCCCAUUUUCAUCAUCAUCCUUCCUAGGAAAAGCCAUUCUACUCACGACACACUGUUAUACUGAAUCACAGGCUUCCACAAACUAUUGCUUGAAAAGAAGAAUUGUUUAUUCCAUAAUCCACUGCAUUAGAAUAGGAUUUUUUUUUUAAUCUGUAAUCCAUUACCUUCUACCCUUAAUAAAAAUUUGCAGGAGUUGAACAUGUUGGAGGAGACAUGUUUGAAAGUGUUCCACUGGGGGAUGCCAUUCUUAUGAAGGUAAGUUCAACUUUGAAGGAAAUCUUAUUAGAAGUCAGUCAGUCACAACAAAUGCUAUCUUUGAACAAUAUUCUGCAGAUCUUUUCAAUCUAAUUAUGUACAGUCCUUCUCUUUUGAACCAUAUUAUGCAGAUCUUCAGAGUCUAAUAAGUUACCCAACUUCUUAUUUGAGUUGCAUUUAUUUUUACCACUUUAAUCAAUGAACAUUUAGUUGUUAGGCAACAGACGCUUUAACUUUAAAGGUUACUUACACACAUGGUUCAAAGACUCGGUCGAGUCGUUACCGUCUCGGUCCCUCCUGAUACGAUAUCGGGACGAUACGAUUUUGAAAUACUUGACUCAUCGAGACGUCACCGCAAAGGGUUAAAACAGCCGAGUCAUCACUCCGAAUCAUCCCGAGUCAACUUGAAUUUUCAUUAUUUUUACUAAUUUUUUAAUUAUCUUUGUUUAUCAAAUUUUUUACAAUUUUUAGAAUAUUAAAUAUUUCAAAAAUGCGGAUCUCGCCGAGACCGCGACUGAUAUGUCGAGACCGAUGUGGAACUGUCCGGGCCGCGACCGCGACUUUGAACCACGCAUACAAAUUAUAUAACACUCUCUCUAACUUUAGCUAUACCAUAUGGAAUUUUAAAUAAUCAGGAAAGUAUCUACAGAUCAGGUGAAUACUUAUAGAUUAAGGGAUAGGAUAAUGACACAUUAGAAAUAUUAGUAGUUGAGAGUGAUCUAUAACUCUCAAGAUCAUAAAGUCUGUCAUCGUCUUAUGAUGCUUUGUAAAAGGAGUGCCUUUUGUCUGGAAUACUCACAGACAACAUCCAUCAAUACUUUUGUAAUGGAUACUUCAUGAUUGGGAUGAUGAUCAUGGCUUGAAGUUGCUGAAAAAUUGUUACAAGACUUUACCAGACAAUGGAAAGGUAAUAGCUGUUGACGCAAUUCUUCCUGUGAUUCCUGAUUAUAGUGCACGCGACAAAGCUACUUGCCAAACAGAUCUUAUAGUGGUGACUAAAGAAGGAAUUGAGAGAUAUGAAACAGAGUUUCUUGCCCUGGCUACUGCUGCUGGAUUUAAAGGCAUAAGUGUGAAAUGUUUCGUAUGUAACUUGUGGGUCAUGGAGUUCUAUAGUUCAUGGGGCAUUGUACUUUAAAACCUUAAAUGUUGUAUGUUGAGUGAUUGUUAAUGUCAUGGUGAUCAUCUGCAAUCUACAGCGAGGAAAAAAAACUGCAAUAGUGACCUCGUAAGAAUAAAUUUAAAUAUUGUUUUGUUUCCGAAGAUGAUAAUUAUGAUGGAGUUAAGGCAAGUAUGAUUUAGGUGUGGUUGGGUAUUGUUAUUUUACUUCAUCCAUGCCUUAGCAUACUCCAAAAGACAUGAAAAAAAGUUUUCUAAUACAACACAUUUACGUAAAAGUGCACUAUCCUACCUAUUAAAAGCGCCAAACGCUGAGGAACAGUAGAAGUGGCGUCCUCUGGUGUUCUGCCGGUUCUUUGGUGAUUUUGUGCAGUCUUAGGGGCAAUUUCGGCGGGAGGUUUCCCUUGCUGCCUGCUUCUUUCUUUUGUUUUUUUCCCAUCUCCCAUUUGGUGUUUCAACCUGGUGCUGCAUGUAGUUUUUUAAUGCUCCCAAGCCACAAUUUAUUUUGGUUUUGCCAUGAUGAGCCACAAUUUGUUCCUGUUUUGCCAUGGCUUGAGCCUAACAUUAAAAAAAAAAAAAAAAAUGGUGCCUGGUUUUGGACUGAUACUACCUUUUUUAGCCAUUAGGAAAAUAUAAAUUUAGAUUAACAUUUUAGUAUGAGUUCCGCUCCAAAUUUCUUCUAAAUUAGUCACCAAAAAGCCUGCUCCAAAUUUUGUCUACACUCCUAACCAAAAAAAAUUACAAAAGGUCCUUGUGUGGCCUCUUCUACAACACUUUUUGCACAAAUUCAAAACAAAUUUCAGUAUAAUUUUGUUCCAAAUUCAAUUGAAUAUUUUAAUACCAAUUUUGUUCGAAAUUCUUCUACAUUACUUGAAAAGGAAAAGAUGUAUGGUGAGCUUUGUCUACACUCCUGACCAACAAUAAAUUCAUAAAUAAAUAAAGGGUCCCUUUAGUGUCCACUUAUACAACACAUUUUGCAUGAAUUCAUUGCUACUACUUUUAUGCAUCAUUUAAUUACUUGCAUGAAAAAACAAAAAUUUAGUAUAAUUUUGUUCUAAGUGAAAAAAAAAUAAUACCAAUUUUGUUCAAAAUUUUUCUAUAUUACGAAAAAAGAAAAUGAAGUAUGGUCAGCUUUGAUUACUUGCAUACAUUUUAAAUAGUCAAAAAGUAAUAAUAGUAAUAGAUGAUUAAACAAACAACAUAUAAAGUCUUGGUAAAAAAUAAUGGUGAGCUUUAAUUACUUAUAUACAUUUUAAAUAGUGAAAAAAUAAUAAUAGCAAUAGAUGAUUAAACAAACAACAAAUAAAGCAAAAUUUAUUAUUUCCUGCCUGUUUCUCCAAGUUUUUCCCUUCCUUAAAUGGCUUUUUCCCUAACUAUUACUUUGUAUUAAUAAACAUAACGUAAAGAAAAAUUCUAGGAUAAAUUUUGUUCCAAAAUUUUCUAUAUUAGUGAAAGAUGCUUGCGAUUAAUGAACGUAAUCUAAUAAUCUAACAAAAAGAAUAAGGAUACAUUUGCUCCAAAUUCCUCUAUAUUAGCGAAAAAUUAGAAGCUUCCUUGAUUGGUUACUUAUUUAAUGCUCUUUGGAUAUAUUAACUAUUACUAUUUUUAUGCACCAUUUAUUUAUUUCUUCAUUGCUAAAAAAAUAAUAAUAAAGGGUCCCUUGAGUGGCCACUUAUAAAGCACUUUUUGCGAAAAUUAAAAAAAAAAUUAGUAUAAUGUUGUUCCAAAUUCAAUUGAAUAUUUUAAUACUAAUUUUGAAAUUCUUCUACAUUAUUGGAAAAGAAGAAGAUGUAUGUUGAGCUUUGUCUACAUUCCCGACCAAAAACAAAAUAAAUAAAUAAAGGGUCCUUUUAGUGUCCACUUAUAUAACAUUUUUUGCAGGAAUUCAUUGCUACUAUUUUUAUGCAUCAUUUAAUUAAUUGCAUGGAAAAAGUAAAAGUUUAGUAUAAUUUUGUUUCAGAUUCAAUUGAAUAUUUUAAUACCAAUUUAUUCCAAAUUUUUCUAUAUUGCUAAAAAGGAAAACGAAGUAUGGUGAGUUUCAAUUACUUGCGUACAUUUUAAAUAGUCAAAAAGUAAUAAUAGCAAUAGAUGAUUAAACAAACAACAUAUAAAGUUUUGGUAAAAAAUAAUGGUGAGCUUUAAUUACUUAUGUAUGUUUUAAAUAGCCAAAAAUAAUAAUAGCAAUAGAUGGUUAAACAAACAAUAUAUAAAGCAAAAUUUAUUAGUUCCUAUCUGUUUCUUUUAGUUUUUCCCAUCCUUAAAUGGCUUUUUCCAAACUAUUACUUUGUAUUAAUAAACAUAGCGUAACAAAAAUUCCAAAAUAAAUUUUGUUCCAAAUUUCUUAAUAUUAGUGAAAGAUGCUUGCCAUUAAUGAACAUAAUCUAAUAAUCCUGUUUUGCCAUGGCUUGAGCCUAAUACAUAUAUUAAAAAAACCUUGGUGCCUGGCUUUGGAUUGAUUUGACUUUUUUUAGCCAUUAGGAAAAUAUAAAUUUAGAUUAACAUUUUAGUAUGAGUUCCGUUCCAAAUUUCUUCUACAUUCCUCACCAAAAAAUCUGCUCCAAAAUUUGUCUACACUCCUUACCAAAAACAAAAUUAUAAAGGGUCAUUGUGUGGCCACAUAUAUAACACUUUUUGCACAAAUUCAAAAAAAAAUUUAGUAUAAUUUUGUUCCAAAUUCAAUUGAAUAUUUUAAUACCAAUUUUGUUCGAAAUUCUUGUACAUUACUGGAAAGGGAAAAGACGUAUGGUGAGCUUUGUCUACAUUCCUGACCAACAAUAAAUAAAUAAAUAAAUAAAGGGUCCCUUUAGUGUCCACUUAUAUAACAUUUUUUGCACGAAUUCAUUGCUACUACUAUUGUGCAUCAUUUAAUUACUUGCGUGAAAAACAAAAUUUUAGUAUACUUUUGUUCUAAGUUCAGUUGAAUAUUUUAAUACCAAUUUUGUUUAGAAUUUUUCUAUAGUACUGAAAAAGAAAAUGAAGUAUGGUGAGCUUUAAUUACUUGCAUACGUUUUAUAUACUCAAAAAGCAAUAAUAGUAAUAGAUGAUUAAACAAACAACAUAUAAAGUCUUGGUAAAAAAAUAAUGGUGAGCUUUAAUUAUUUAUGUACAUUUUAAAUAGCGAAAAAAUAAUAAUAGCAAUAGAUGAUUAAACAAACAAUGUAUAAAGAAUAAUUUAUUAUUUCCCACCUGUUUCUCUGAGUUUUUCCCCUCCAUAAAUGGCUUUUUUCCUAACUAUUACUUUGUAUUAAUAAACAUAGCGUAAAGAAAAAUUCUAGGAUAAAUUUUGUUCCAAAUUUUUUUAUAUUAGUGAAGAUGCUAGCUAUUAAUGAACAUUAGAAGCUUCCUUGAUUGGACACUUAUUUAAUGCUCUUUGGAUAUAUUAACUAUUACUAUUUUUAUGCACCAUUUAUUUAUUUCUUCAUUUUCAAAAAAUUAAUAAUAAAGGGUUCUUGAAUGGCCACUUAUAUAGCACUUUUUGCACAAAUUCAAAAAAAAAUUAGUAUAAUGUUGCUCCAAAUUCAAUUGAAUAUUUUAAUACCAAUUUUGUUUGAAAUUCUUCUACAUUACUGGAAAAGAAGAAGAGGUAUGGUGAGCUUUGUCUACAUUCCUGACCAAAAAUAAAUAAAUGAAUAAAGGGACCCUUUAGUGUCCACUUAUAUAACACUUUUGUAGAAAUUCAUUGCUACAGUUUUUACGCAUCAUUUAAUUACUUGUGUGAAAAAGCAAAAUUUUAGUAUAAUUUUGUUCCAAAUUCAAUUGAAUAUUUUAAUACCGAUUUUGUUCAAAAUUUUUCUAUAUUGCUGAAAAGAAAAUGAAGUAUGGUGAGCUUUAAUUACUUGCAUACAUUUUAAAUAGUCAAAAAGUAAUAAUAGCAAUAGAUGAUUAAGCAUACAACAUAUAAAGUCUUGGUAAACAAUAAUGGAGAGCUUUAAUUACUUGUGUACAUUUUAAAUAGCCAAAAAAAAAUAAUACCAAUAGAUGGUUAAACAAACAACAUAUAAAGCAAAAUUUCCUCCCAUUUCCUACCUAUUUCUUUGAGUUUUUCCCCCUCCUUAAAUUUCUUUUUUCUUAACUAUUACUUUGUAUUAAUAAACACAGCGUAACAAAAAAUUUCAGGAUAAAUGUUGUUCCAAAUUUCUCUAUUUUAGUGAAAGAUGAUUGCAUUAAUGAACAUAAUCUAAUAAUCUAACAAAAAAAUCAGGAUACAUUUUGCUUCAAAUUCCUCUAUAUUAGCGAAAAAAAAUAGAAGCUUCCUUGAUUGGACACUUAUUUAGUGCUCUUUUGAUACAUUAGCUAGUACUAUUUUAUGCACCAUUUAUUUAUUUCUUUGUUGCCAAAAAAUAAUUAUUCUAACUUUUUUUGUGUUAAAUGUGUUGAGCACCAAUUGUUUCAAUGAGUUUUAGAUAAUAGAAAAAGAAUGUUUAACAGUUGGAAAUGGCUACACAUAGAGAAUACAAGGCUGAAUUUAUUUUUACUUGCUUGCUUCUUUAAAAAGCUUUUUGCUUGAUAAAUUGUGUCCUAAUUACUCCCUCUGUUCCAUUUUGGUAGUAUUUUUUUGUACAUAGUUUAAGUAAAGCUGCUUAACUUUUAAAAGAAUAAAUCUAAUCUACUAUUUUCUUAAAAUACCAUUAAACCAAUAUCAGAAGUUUGACUAAUCACCAUACCUUUCUCCCUUUCUCUCUCAACAUCUCUCUCUCUCUUGCUUAUUUUGAAUUCUAGGGUUAGCCAUGGCUGCCCUUCAUCCUUCGGGUGAAGGGCAACCUAUACAUCCAUUACCAUCAAAAUAUUCCUUCACAGAUAUAGGGCCUGUUUGACAAAUAAAUUUUCGGCUAAGUUUGUCUGCUACAAAUUUUUUAAUAACUUUAGUUACAGUAAUUUCAAAAAACUUCUCAAAGUUUUUAAAAUACGUAUUUCAAACUAUCCAAAAUUUACACACUUCAAAAAAAAUUGUGAGUAAAAUUUUAAACAAACAAUCGAAAAACUCAUUUGCCAAACAGAACCAUAAUCUCCUUUUCUUCUCCUACCUUAACGCCAACUCCUUGUCUCAAACCUAGUGAACUUUACAGGGAGGAACCAACAUUAUCCUUUUCGGGGGAAGAUGUUCGGCUCCUCGCUGCUCCUUUCGAGUUUGUGCUCUUUGGAAAAUUUUCCAAAGGUCGGCCGUCCAUGGAAGGGCUCAGAAAAGAAUUCUUGGCUCUCGGCUUUAAGGGUCCUAUAUCCUUAGGACUUCUUGACCCUCAACACAUCUUAAUCAGAUUCGAGUUGGAAGAUGAUUUCGAUAGGUGUUGGCUUCAUGGAUUCUAGUCUUUUCAAGGAUUUGGCAUGAGGGUUUUUAAGUGGUCUCCAAUCUUUCGCUGGACAUGGAAUCGUCGAUUGUCCCAAUCUAGAUCCGGUUGUUGUGCCUUCUAGUACAUCUUUUUAACAAGGGACCCUUGUUUUCCCUAGCUAAAUUGGUCUGUGAACCCUUAAGGCUGGACGCAUCGACAACAAUGCUUGCUAGGCCGGCAGUGGCAAGGAUUUUUGUUGACAUGGAUCUACCAGGGCCCCUUCCUGAACGUGUUUGGAUCUGGAAUCUGUCCAAUGGUUUUUGGCAGCGAGUUGAGUACGAGAAUUUACAUGAUUAUUGUGUGAACUGUAAGAAACUUGGACACCAUAGUAGCGCUUGUAGACAAUUUUAGUAGUUCAAGGAAGCAACCUGAUAAUAAGGACGGGAAUAUUGGGGGGGGGGCGAUGGGACAACAGAAAUUUGGAUCCCAAAGGAUGGUCACAAUCACUCAGAGGAACGAAAUCACACUUUGUCAGAUAGCAACUAGCAUCUUCAAAUUUGGACAAUCAAUUGUGGAGGAGCAAACAAUGCUGAAGGACUUAGUCCCGGACAAUCAGUUGACACUUACGGUACAACAUAAUAGUCACAACCCUAGCUCGCAACAACCAACGAGUGACCAGCAAUCAAUGGAUUUGAAUCAUAGCCAGAGCGCUUCCAAAAAAUUAGUCUCAGUGGUGCAACGGCAGCACCAGACCAAAACCUUGGAAACUCCAAUGGAGCAACCACAGAAUAAAGUUGUGCACUAGCAGGUAAUUCCAUUGGAGCUGGGGCAGAAUGAAGUUUUGCAUCAGCAGGCAUCAACAGUGUUGUAGUGUGAGACAUUGUAGUAGCCAUUAGAACCACAAACAAAAUUGCUACCACAACUCCCCUUGAUAGAUCACAACACCUUCGCUAGCUCUAUUAUAGAUUACCGGAAGCUUUAUUCUAAAUGAAGAGGAAACCUAGACUCACUCUCGGAUGUUGAGGGACAGCAACAUCAAAGUAAACCUCGUGAAAUGCUGGUGGAGGACUUUAUUCAAUUCAAGAAAAAAAGUAGACCACCUCGUUCCAAUACCCCAGAAGAAGAUGCAAUUAGCCAAACGUGGGCGAUGAAGGCGAUUUUUAAACUUACCAAAGACUGUUGUAACCAGGCAAUUUUCAAAGGUAUCCACAGAAUCUUCCUCCCAAUUUUAAUUAUGACGAGUAUUUUCGUGUGGAAUAUAAGAGGCAUAUUUGGUCGUGCCUCUUCGCGUCGUUUAAAGAAGUUAAUAAGGUUACAUUCAGUGUCGUUUUUAGUAAUCUUAGAGCCUAUGGUUGAGCCGGAACAAUUAGAAGGUUUUACAGCCAAGUUUGGCUUCCAUCUUGGUGUUAGUAACUUUUCCAAUAAAAUAUGGGUCAUGUGGAAGACAGGUUUUGCAGUAGAUGUAGUAAUUAAUGCAGAUCAAUUUAUUCAUUUGGCUAUUGCUCAGGAGUCAUGGAUUUUGUUUCUUAUUGUUCCUUUAUAUAUGCUAAAUGUUCACAAAUUGAAAAAAGAUCUUUAUCGUCGGACUUAGUUUCUUUGUCGGGUGGCUUGGUUUCUAAGCCGUGGCUGAUAGGUGGUGACUUUAAUGUUGCUGUGUCCAUUGAUGAAUACUUGGGCCGAGCACUACAGAACUUGAAUGCAAUGGUGAAAUUUGCUGAUUGUAUUUCAAUCUAUGGUCUGAAACAUAUUACUUUGUCUGAAAGUUGUUACACUUGGACUGGCGUUCGUCAUGGUAGGCGAGUGUGGAAGAGAUUGGAUAAGUUCCUAAUAAAUCUAGAAUGGCAGCGCCUCUUUCUUAACUCAAAAGUACAACACCUUAAUCGUGUAACUUCAGAUCAAGUCCAUUAUUGUUGUAACUCCAGCCAUGCUUGAGCUUGGGAACGCGAUCAUUUAGGUUUCAAUAUAUGUGGGUUAAUAACCACAGCUUUCUCACUGUGGUUCGAAGCAGUUGGGAUCAGCCAGCUUUAGGCUACGGUAUGGCGAGGUUUGUCAUAAAAUUGAAGAGACUUAAGUAGGUUUUGUGUGAAUGGAAUAAGGUGUCCUUUAGGAACAUUUUUGAUAACAUAGCUAAAGCUCAAGAAGAAGUUAAACAAAAGGAAUUACAACUAGAAGAAGAGGAAAUAGAAGCAAUGCAUCUGCAAUGGAGUCAGGCAAAUGCUGCUCUGCUAAAGCAUUUGGCGGCCAAAGAAGUUUCUUGGAAAUAGAAAGCUAGAGUAAGGUGGUUAAAAGACGGUGAUUUGAACACAAGAUAUUUUCACUCUGCACUUUUAGAUAAGUGAGUUUGGCUUUCUAUGUAGAAAAUUAAAAGCUUGGAGGAGGUCUAUAUUGAGGGAGAUGACAACAUUGGUGCAUCGGCUGUGGAUUUCUUCAAGUCCUUGUUAGCAGAUUCUUCAUUGUUAAACAGACAGGCAACCUUGGAGCUAUGAAACAAUGUUCCUGCCCUGUAACACCUCUACAGAAUGACCAACUGAUAGAGGAAGUCACUCUAGAGGAAGUUGAAAGGGCAGUGUUUGAAUUGGAUGGGCAAAGUGUAGCUGACAGCGAUGGAUUUGCGGGUUGCUUUUAUACUCAUUGUUGGGAGAUCAUUGCAGAAGAUGUCUUCUGAGCUGUUCGAGAAUUCAUGUGUGGAGUUCCACUACCUAAGGGUAUUGCAAGUACUCUGGUGGUAUUAAUUCCAAAGAAGGAGGUGCCUACGACAUUUGAAGACUUCAGGCCAAUUAGUCUUUGUACCUUUAUCAAUAAGGUCUUCACUAAAAUUCUUAGUAAUUGAAUUAAAAUCGUUCUUCCCACUCUCAUCUCACUAGAACAAUUCAAUUUUGUUAGUGGAAGAGAGAUCUCAGAUAGUAUCUUACUUGCACAGGAGAUGGUUAACUCAAUUGAUAAAAAGGUCAGGGGGCACAAUGUAAUACUCAAGGUUGAUAUGAUAAAGGCAUUUGAUCGUGUCUCAUGGCGUUUUUUGUCCCAAUUGUUGGGCUAUUUUGGCUUCCAUCCUUAUUUUUUCUCUCUGGUUAUGAAUAGCCUCUCUUCCACCUGGUUUUCAAUCCUUGUCAACAGGAAGCCAUAUGGAUUUUUCCAAACAAGUCAUUGAAACAAAGGGAUCACCUUUCUCCUUUUCUUUUUAUAUGGUGUUAGAGGCGCUUAGUAGAGGCUUGAAGAGCUUAAUCUUGAUGGGAACGGUGCAACCAUAUGCUUUUGGCUGUGGCUGCAUGCCAGUGUCACACCUAGCAUUUACGGAUGAUGUUGUAAUUUUUUCAAGAGGAGACCGUCGUUCGGUUAGCUAGGAAACGACUAAUGGCUCGGUAGACGGGUUUCAGUAGAUGGAUCUCCCCUUUGUUGAUUAGGAGCAAGCUUUUCAAAGGUAAAGGUAAGAAAGAACACUUUCAGCAGUUAGUUGAGAAGAUGAGACAAAAGUUGGCGGGCUGGAAGAACAAGUUGCUGUCAGCUGGUGGCCAGAUAAUUUUAAUCAAACAUGUUCUGACUGCUAUACCAUUAUAUGCUUUUACAGUUUUACAGCCACCUAAGAGUGUGUUGGGCUAGUUGGAGAGGAUUAUGUCCUCUUUUUUCUGGGGGGAAGCAGAUGGACUGGAUAAAAGACAUCGGAUUAAAUGGAGAAAUCUGUGCAAGCCAACACAGGAAAAUGGUUUGGGGUUGUGCCAACUGGAAGACAGUGUGAACGCUUUUGGGUGCAAACUAUGGUGGAAGUUGCGGUCUACUGAAACUUUAUUAGCUCGGUUCAUUCACUCUAAAUAUGCUAUUGCUGAGAAGGUUUGUCACAGGUCCGAGGUUUGGUGGAAGAAAACUUGCAAGUAUUAAUAAGGGAUGGUAGCUUCUCAUUCUGGUACGAUAAUUGGUUUGGCUCCGGUCCUCUUGCUAGCCAAAAGGUUCAAGUGCCAUUGCCAAAUGUUCGUGUUCGAGAUUUGUUGCAAGAUAACGACUGGAACUUAGGCCAAGUAGAGUUGGUUCUCACACAUGAAGAAAAAAAUGCAGAAUUUACGGUCUCAUACGUAGCUCUCCUAGGGUAAGGAUCUGAUGGUCUAGUGUCCAUCUGCAAAUGGUACGCUUUAGGUAUCCUUAGCAAUGGAAAUGCUUCAGCAACCUUCAAGCUCAAUGAUAUGCAGGAGGAUGAGCAGGCGAAUGCCAUCAAAGGUAUCGGUCUUUAUGUAGAGACUGAUUAAUUUCAUCCUGCCAUUUCCAGAUAUCCUACAACAAUUUGGUUUUAAUCUCCCCUCGAAGUUUGCAUUCUGUGAUAAUUAGGACAAUUUCGCCCACUGCUUACUUGGAUGUUGAUAAGUGACUAAUUUACGUAAUAAUUGUAUGACAUUUUAUAUUAUUUUUAGUCACUUUGGUUAUAUUAUUGGAAGAAUAUGAAUCAUUUUGGCUAUAAUUGGUGAUAAAUGCUUUUAAGUGAUUAAAUGAGGUUUUUAUCACUUUUUACUUGGAUUUUGUGUAUUUUGACAGUUUUGACACAUUUUCGUAUUUCGGCUAUAACUUGAGUUACAAUGAUCGGAUUGGGAUGAUUCUUGAAACCAUUUGAAGAUAAGAGAUAGGUCUACAACUUUGGUGAAGACAUCCGAAUCCAGUUUGAAGGUUUUCAAAAUCAAAAAGCCGAAUUACAUUAGCUAAUUUCUGUUGGUCGAAGCUGAAACAGGGCAAUGAGCAGACAAGGGUAUUUCAGUCAUAUCUCAGCCUACAUAGAUCCAAAUGAGGUGAUUCUUGAUGCAUUGGAAAGAUAACUCAAAAGGCUACAACUUUCGUGUUUUACACAUGAGCUGGUUCAGCCUCUAACAUCAAGAAAAGAUCGGUUGAAGUUGGGCCAAAAACAGAGCAAGUGAUCCACACUCGGAUCCACUAUUCAUCCGAACCCUCGGCUGUUUCUGGGUUAGUGGAUCCGAGCUCGGAUCCAUACGGAUCCGAGGCACUGUAGCAGCUCGGAUCACUGGUCAGAAAAGACUGCUUUAUACGCGUAAAACUCAAUUUCACCUCCACCAACUCACAUGUGAUGCUAGACAUGUGAGAGACAUUACCAGCUGUAAGGAGAAAGUGUAAAGCUUCAUUUCUUGACCACCUUUCAUCAUUAAAUAGCCAAAUUCAUUGCAAAAUGAAAAAAAGGGGAUGAUAGAGUAAGAGAUAGAGAGACAUACGGGAGAAGCUUGGAGUCUGCAGAAAUGUAGCUCUUUCAUCUUCCUAGUAUUAGUUUAGCUUAGUAUAGAGUAGUAUAGUUCAACCAUUCUUGUUUAUUAUCUAGAUUAGGAUGAAGAUGGAGGAUGAAGAAGGCAAGGAAGAAAGCUCAUGUGACAAGGGUUGUAUUCCUUCCAAACUCUUUAUCUUUUGUAUUUGAUUCCAAGUUUAGUUAAUAUACAAGUUCUGGAUUUUGUGUUCAUUAUGUGUUUCUAAAGUUUAUACCUUGGGUUUGGUUGAACUUUCUAUAAUUGUUAGUGUUUAUUAUUUGGUUAUUUGACUGCUAUGAUUUGAGCAAGUUAUUUAGCACUUUGGCUCUUUAAAUCAUGAUUAAUCUGGUACCAUUGAUUGUGAUUAUCUAAGGUGUUGUUUCUGCAAUGAAAAUUGAGAUUUAACACUAGUUCAAGAGGUGCUAAACAUAGGGAGUACACUCACGAAAGUAGAGGUGCACUUAUGUGGUUUUUAGUGAUUCAUUUCAUGUAAUUUCAUUGAAGAAAUGAACUUGUAGCUAAUUUCAUAACCAUGAAAAUAGGUAUGGAUUAGUUAUGAGUAUAGUUGAUUCACUACGAAAGUAGGUUUCACAUGUUUAAGGAAAUUACACCAUAACUAGCCUAAAUGUAGUAUUCAAUGAUCCAAAUGUAGCACUUGCAUGAGUAGUUAGGGAUACCACAACCUAAGGAGCUUUUAUUUGUUAUUUUGUAUAAUUUCAGUAGGUUAAAUUUCUUAUAAUUCAUUGAUAGUCUAAAUAAUACAGAAGCUUUAGUAAUACCGGUAAUUGUUCACUCUUCCCUGUGGGAUCGACCCGAUAUAUACCCUAAACUACUAGUUGACCUGUAUACUUGCAGUGAACGGGUGUAAUUCGGUUUUUUAACUUGUACGUAUGUAAAAUACCCGUCAGAUGUCAACUGGCAGUGCAGGUGUGGAAGAGAAUAGAGUAGAAAUUGGGUAUGAAAGUACCACCAUCAAAGGAUAUUAUGCUUCAUUUGCAGAAUUGGUGGAUGCACUCUUUGGGGAGGUCAACAAUGGCCAAGCUGACACAGAUAAUCCCCUUGUUAAUCUGCUGGGAGCUGUGGAAAGCAAGGAACAAAGCCAUUUUUUAUGAUUAUAAAAUGAUAGUUGGUCAAGUCUUUCAUCAUGUGCUUGAGUUGUUACAUUUUAUUUCCUUGGCUCACCUCUUUGUCUUGGAAAAUUGCAGCGGAAAGGGUCUUCAGCAGCUGGGGUUGUAGCUUUCCUUCACAGUUUCUAAACCAAAAAAUGCUUAACUCUAGUUUGGUCCUUGCCAUCACACCCUCAUGCAAAACUAAAUAUAGACGGCUCGUUGCUAGGGAGUCUGGGAGACUUGAGGGAGAUAACAUCACUCGUUGGCGUCCCUCCCCGUGUGCAAGGCUUUGCCGGUUAAAACAAAAACAUUAAUUACAAUAACACUACUAUAAAAAUUAUACUAUUCAAACUAUGAAUCUAAGCAAUUAAUGAAUAAAGUAGAUUAUACUCAUUGAUAAUAAGUACAUUAAAUAAAAUAUUCUUAGAGAAAUUAAAAUUUAAUUAAUUUUUAAUUGAAAAGUGGGUCCUAGGUUGGGCUUAGGAAUGAGCUAAUAAACGAGCUCCUUAGUAGCAAAUAUCAUUGGUUCGAUGUUUCGGAUGAAACCAAUUCACUAAUAAAAAGCAUUUUCUAAGUGAAGAUCUGCGCGAAUUGAAGUGAGACUAUAUUUUAAAAUGAAUGAAAAACAGACUAUUAAAAUGGGACAAAUAGAUUACUUUGUAUUGAUAUUAAUAAAUGAAUGGUGUAAUAAAAGAUUCCAUGAAUUUUGUUCCAAAUUUAUAAAUUUUGUUCCACAUAUUUCUAUUUAUAUUAAAAGAAAAAUAAAAUGGCCUCUUGAUUAGACCUUGACAUAAUUGAUAUGUACUAACUGACGUAAACAAUUGCUAAAAUAACAAAACUCUGUUAGAAUAUUAAACAGAGUUUGUUAUAGUGAGUUAUAAUUUGUUUAAAAGGUUGUACACUAUUCAAGCUCUCCCUUAUCAAUAGCCAUUCCGCAUUUGUUCUUGGCCAUUCUCAAUACCUUUUUUUUUUAAAAAAAAAUUUAUGGAGGAGGAGAGCGGGAUAGUACAACGUCUCUGCAACUGUGUUUUUAAACUUGUACUCAAUAGUCCAGUCUGACUAGUCGAACCAAAAACUAGCUAGGCUUCCUAUUCGUGUCUCUUUUAAAAAUUGCACCUCAAAAACUCUGUAAAUCCCAAUUUUACUAAUCUUGUCAUUUUUUCUAUAUUUUUUUCAUUACUAAUUUCUUUUUUUUUUCUUGUAUUUUCUUCAUCUCUAAAGCCUAAUUUCAUCUCUCCAACAAUCAGGUGAUAACAUAUGCAAAAUCACGAGGGAAAAGUUUCAAGAAAAUAGCAAGAAAGAAAAUGGGAAAAUAUAUUUAUAAAUCUAUGCAUUGCUAUCUUUUUUUUUUUUUUUGGCAAGAGAAAGUUGCUUUUAUUGAUCUGUACAAUAUAACCUUACAAAGGGAUAAACCUCCUACAUCAACAAAACUUCUAGUGCAAUAUCAGCACUGUACAGAAUAGGUAGAAAAGCUAACAACAUUAAAAGCUAAACCUAUUAAUCAAUCUUAGUCCAAACCCCUCUCAAGCAUCAAUUGCCAAUUAGUCUUAGUCCUUGGGGCUUUGGAUCAAGAAAGCGCAGACAGCCAAAUCACUCUAGUAAUAUUCUCCAUAAAUUUCAAUGUUCCUACAGAUAAAUGCUGAAAUACCCUCUUGUUUCUUUCUUGCCAUAUAUGCCAAACAGUGGUUGCAAAAACAUGAGGCCUGAUUUUAGACACAAAGGAGCUUGAGCUAGCAUGUUGAGACCAUCACGUUACUUCUUCAUCCCAUGGUAAAGAGCAUCUAUAUACCAAACAAAGUCUCUGUAGUUUUUCCAAUAUGCAACCAGAAAAAGUCCAUUGGAAGAAUAGAUGCUCAAUCGUCUCAUUUUCUUGAUUGCACAGAACACAAAUUGGAGAGACAUUUGCUACUCCCCAUCUAGCAAGUCUACCCUUAGAAGUUUAUGUUGUACUGCUAACCACAGUACAAAUGCAAAUUUUGGUAUAUGGACACUCCCCCAGAUAAGCUUGAAUCAAGAUACCUUAGUUCCUGUGUGAAACAAUUUUUCCAUAGUAGACUUAACAUAAAGUACUCCAUUUGCUAUUGCUGUCCACCUUACGCAGUCCUGCAUUUGGUAUUGCAGUAAGAUUGGAGCACAGUCUUUAAGCUCUCGCACCUUAGCAUUAAAACGUCUUCCAAUAGCCCAGAUCUAUUCACUAUUGAUAAUCAAAUCAGCCACUUUUAGAUAGCUUAGAUAGCUUUAGGUCUCUAAGCAAAGAUUCAGGAAAUUUCAGGUAGAGGGGUCCCAAAGAGAGCCAAUUAUCAAACCAGAAAGGAGUGCCCUUUCCAGCGCCAAUAUCAACACUGAUCAGAAGCUUAGCAGUGUUUCUGAUUUUAAGAAUCUUCCUCCAAAUCGAGGAACAUUCAGUAGGUAUUUUGAUUUCCCAGAGGCUACAUUUAUUCAGCUUAACCGAGUGGAUCCACCUCACCCAUAAAGUGUCUUUUCUUUUUGUACAUAUAUUCGAAAUCAAUUUCAGCAUCAAACAGGUAUUACACUGAACAAUAUUUCUAAUCCCCAAACCUGCUUCUUCCUUUGGUCUACAAACAUCUAACCACUGAUCGACAAAUUCUUGCAAGCGUCUAGGGUCAAUCGUAGUAAUAAUUUACCUGAAAUAUUUCAAGGUCGAACCCACAUAAACGAGUUAAUUUUCUACUUUAAUUAUUCUAACAAAAUAACAAAAUUCAAAUUUAAGAAGUGUAUUUUCUACUUAAGCAAUAAAAGAAAAAAAUCAAUUUAAAUAAAGUAGUGGUGAGAAAACAAUAGACGUGAGUGUAGGGUUUCAUUUUUUAAUUCAAAAUUUGAAUCAAUUAACUAGUUAAUUUCUUACCAAGUUAUGAAUGCAUCACAUAUCUAUAUUUUAGACCAGCUCUCGAUGCAUCUAAAGUAUGUUUAAUUAAAUCCUAUGCCUCUCUUGAUGGUCAUAGGAUUUCAAUUAAACCCAUUAAAAUUCUCAGUGAUAUAGGUGCAUCACACAUACUCUAACCUACUCUCGUGAUUAGUCUAUGUGUAUUUAUCUAUCUAGCGCACGGUUGUAUCUCCUUUCUCAAGUUGACACAAACCCAACAUUCAUGUUCAUGGUGAUCAUGCAUUAAGAGCAAGAUAAAUAAAUCAUAGUAAAAAGCAAGAAAUUAAACUAGAAAAAUUAAUCAAAUUCCUUUAUUAAAACCCUAACCCUAGAAACAAUUUAUUUCAACAUGAUUUAGAAGUUAAAACCACGAAUUUAAAAAGUUGCUACAAAGAUAAGAGAAAGAGUAAGAAAACUUUUCAAUUGUUUGCUCCAAUCUUCUCCUUGCGUGCUCCUUGAUUCGCCUCCGUUUGAUCUUGAUCUCUCAAGAAUAAAUUAUGAAAAGAUGUUAAAACUAGACUAGACUAAUGUUUUCCACCUAAAAACCCCUAUUUAUAGCUUCUUGAAGAUAUAUCCUAAAUAGGGUAGGAAUAGGUUCAAUUGGAUUCAAAAAAUCAUGUUUUCGCACAUUUAUCCAAUGAAGACCAGCCCAAUAUCCGGUGCCUGUCAUUAGAUUGAGCACAAAGCAUAAAAGGAUCUAGAGAUGUUCGGCGUCAAGCCAUUUGCGAAGUCUAGCACCGAUCAUGGAUUCAACCACGGAUCAGUACGGAUCCACAUGAGGAUCACUUUGAAACCUCAAAACACCAUCAAAUAGGCCAAAUUAGUUCUUGCUCAAAAGACAAAAUUGUAAACCUUUAAUAAGCUUUCUAACGCCACAAGAAUCAUGUCAUUUGGAGAUCUGGACGCUAAGAUAUGCCUAAAAAACUAAUACCUGGUCAUAAGAGCAUUGCAGCACAAUUGUACUUCAGUAAUUUGGACUUUUGACUGUGAAAAUGUGAGAACCAAACUUUGAGGUCUUCAUAAAAGUUGUAGAGAAUUCUCUUAACUUAAAAUUAAAUCAAGAAUCAUCUUAAUCUGAUUUCUGUUACUCAAGUUAUCACCAAAAUACUGAAAUAUGUCAUUCCUACGAAACCUCUUUCCCUUGACUUUUUCCUCUUUCAUUGCUAAUUCACACCAUGUUUUUAGUCCAUUUUCUCUCUAAUUGAACUUUACACCUAUUAGAAUAAUAUAAGAGCAAAAUUAAGUAGUUUCUACUCAAAAUAAAGCUCAAAUAACAUGGUUAUCUAGCAACUUAUGCAUUUAAAUGUACUACAAUUUAUACCCUAGCAAAUUCUCCUGCACUUAGUCUGUGCUUGUUCUCAAGGACAAGAAUAAAGCGAAUUAAAUAUAAAUAAUGGCUAUAUUCAAGGUUAUCAUUAUUAAAGCAACCAUUCUAUGCAAGUGUCAAGUACUAAUAGUAAAAACUAAAGAGACACUUCUUCGGUUAGCUUGAGACACUUCUUCGGUUAGCUUUUAACACCAUCGACCCUUUCAACUCCGGCUAACUAAAUUAGGAAUAAAUAUAUUUAACAAGCAUUUCCUUGCAAAUGGCCCAAGUAUUAAGCAAAAUAUUAAACUUAUAGCCAUAUGGAUCCACAUGCUAAUCUUAUUAUCCACAUAUUUUUGUUUCUUUCUUUUCAUAUUUUUCUCUUUAUUUUUCUUCAAAUUCCCCCACACUUAAGCUUUUUCACAUUUUAACAAGAGGAAUACACUUAAUUAUUAGCCGUUUAAGCCUUUUGACGCGAAUUCUAACAUCUCCCAAAUAGAAUAGCCUGGUUACUUAGCUUACACCGCUAAAGAAUCACAUACUCAUAACAAUCAUCACUUUUUGAUGUAAAAGCCAACACUUUUAGGCGAAGAUUCCCAGUUAUUGGGCAACGACAACCAGCGGAGUGCAGACAAAUUAAUAAAAUAAACAUUUAAAUACAAAUAAGGACACAAAAAUCUGCUUCAUAUCCCAAUAAUAUGGAGAACAAAGAUUAAUAAUUAGGCCAAAUUCACAAGAAAAAUGCUAGAAAAACAUUUACAAUACCUAGAAAAAUUAGCCAAAAAUUGAAAAGGUCAAAAACUAUCAAAUAUUCAUCAAAGAAGUACUCUAAAGCAACACCAUGUGACACUUAAUACAUUCAUACACAUAUCACUUUAACAAUAAUAAUACUCAAAAUAUAAGCCAUUGCCUAUCAGGGAAUCAACAAUAAAAAUUCGAAAAUUUUAGCCCAAAAUUUUAAAAAUUUCACUUCACCCAUUUAUUCCUUCCCCCACAUUUAAGACAACAUUAUCCUCAAUGUUGGGGAUAAAACAAAGAAAUAAUAACAAGAAAAGAGAUGAAAGUGAAACUUCCCUGAUAACGAAUGGUGUGCCAAAGACCAAAUGGGGUGAGAGAAAUUACUAAUUACCAUCCAAUAGUCAAGCUCAGGAAGCCAUCCUACCAAGCUAUAAAAAGACAAGAAAACACUACAAAUAAGAGUUAAAUACUACACCAAAUAACUCAAACUAGAAAGCAAUAAAAUUUUAAGGAAAUAAACACCACCAUUAAUGUUAAACAAAAGAAAAAUAUUAAAUAAAAUUAAAAGGAAAAUCGGGCUGCCUCCCGAGAAGCGGUAAGUUUAACGUCUUCUGCCAGAUAGGGUCACAUAUGAUUGUGGUGGAUAAAAUGAUUCGGAUGAUUUCACAGUUUCCUUAGCAUGUGCUUGCAAUUUUGCAUAAUUUUUUUGCAUCUCCAUUGCGCUUUCAAACAAUUAAAGAAGAAUAUGCACGAUGAUUUUGCAAGGGGAUGACCUUUACUUCCUGCUCUAAUACAUAUUUUUCACUAUACAAAUCAUUAGAAAUAGCAAUAUAGGAACAAAACUCCUCGUACGAAGGCUAUUAUAAGAGUUCAAAGACAUUAAAUUCUUCUUUCUCUUUACCAAUACUUAAAAUCAAUUUUCCUUCAAGUAAGUCUAUAUUAGCCUCUUCUGUAGCUAAAACCCCUCUACCAAGGAUAAUUGGCAUACAAAUAUCCUCCUCCAUGUCAAGAACAAGAAGAUCAGUAGGAAAAUAAAAUUUACCGACUUUAACUAAUAGAUCAUCAACAAUACCAAUAGGAUAAUACACUGAACGAUCAGCCAGUUGUAGAAUCACUUGAAUAGGCCCCAAAUUGGCAAACUUUAAUUUCCUGAAAAAUGAUAGAGAUAUCAAAUUAACACUAUAUCCACGGUCACACAAACAUUUAUCAACAAUAAUAUGUUCAAAUUGACAAGGUACAUUAAAACUCUCUGGAUCUUUCAUUUUGAUAGGAAAACCAUUUUGUGGCACUGCACUGCAUUCCUCAGUAAGAGACACCUCUGCAAAGUCUUCUAACUUCUUUUUAUUAGACACUAUCUCUUUCAAGAACUUUGCACAAGCAGGUAUAUCAGCAAGAAUUUCAAAAAAAAACAUGUUCACUUGAAGUUUCUUGAGCAACUCCACAAACUUUUGAUAUUGCUCGUCCAUUGCCUUUUUCUUAAGCCUUUGGAGAAAAGGGAUGGGUGGCACAUAAGCUUUCACCUCAAGCACCUUCAUAUGUUGAUUAUCUUACCCUUGAUUUUUUCACGUGAACCAUUCCCCGAAUCCCCAGUUUCUUCACUUUUAAUAGCAAUUCCGCUCCUCCUUUGCUUUGCACUUGGUUUAGUCUUGGAUUUAAUGACAAGAUCAUCCAAUACUUUGCCUGAACGAAGAGUCACAGCUAUACUAGUUUCUUUUGGGUUCACCUCAAUGCUACUAGGCAAUUUCCCUGGUGCCGUUUCAAUUACUACAUUUACUAGUUGACCAACUUGCCUUUUAAGAUUUUGAAUGGAGGCUUGUUGAGAUUGAGCAAGUUUGUCAAACUGGUCCAUCUUUUGGUCCACCUUUUGCAUGUAUUGUAGCAUCAUUUCUUCAAGGUUGGACUUUUUCUCCUAAGUAGGUUGAGAAGAAUAUUAAAAAGUUGCUGCAAAUUUUGAAACCCAAGUGGUCCCAUAGGUCUAAUCCAUUGAUCCUUUAUGAAAAGUUAGGAUGGUUUUUCCAUCCUUCAUAUAUGUGGUGGAAAAAGGAUCAUUCCUUGGCUGCAACUUCUGCCCCCCAUGAAAUUAACAUCUUCUACCAUGGUGGGAGGAUCUCUAUUAUAGUAACUAGCACUAGAAUAACCAUACAUGUGAGAAUAAGCACAUGAUUCUUGAGAUUGAACUACCCGAUUUAAGAGUUAUUGCAUUUGAUGACUCAAUUCAGCUACCUGCCCAAAUCCCAUGGCACAUUCACUUCAUGCACUCGUACUCUCUUACCCCGAAUUGGUUUUUGUUGAGAAUUGAUAGUUAACAAUUCAUAGAGACUAACAAAUUCCUCCAAGGUUUUGUCACCAAUAUACCUUCCUGCUACAAUAUCCACCAUAUUCAGGGUUAUUAAGGUCAACCCAUCAUAGAAAAAUUACACUUGCAAUGCCAAUGAAUAGUGGUGGUGAGGACAUUGAGAAAGUAGUAGCUUAAAGCGAUCCCAUGCUUCAUGUAUUAGCUCUCGUUCCAUCUGAGAAAAUAUGCAAAUCUUGUUCCUUAAAUCAAUGGUCUUCUGAGAAGAGCAGUAUUUGGUCAUAAAGAUGUUAUAAACAUCUUCCCAUGUCCUCAAAGAUCCUUCAAGGAGAUGAAGUAACCAAGACUUUGCACGAUCCUUGAAACAAUAAGAGAAGCACCUUAUUCGUAAGUCAUCUUCUGAAACUCCACUCAAAGGGAAAGUUUGGACAACCAAAUAAAAUUCCAUUAUGAAGGACAAUGAGUCUUCAUUGGCUAAACCAUGGAAAGUAGGCAACAUGCUGCAGUGUACAGUUUUGAGCUCAUAGUUUUUUGCUCCGUCACUUAGCUAGAUGCAGUGGGAAGAGGUUACGAUCACAGGAAGUUGGAUGUCCCAAAGGCGAAGUCCUGCGAGUGGUUGCACUACCUGCUAUUGAUUAUUGCCAUUAUUUCUAUUCUCCUCAGCCAUCUCUUCGUCGCCAGAAUUGCCCGACUCAGCUAUCUCUAAGGUGAUAUGAAAUCCUGGUGAAGAUGGUUGCAAAGUUUGUUUUUGCAAGCGAGUUUGCUUCCUCAAAUACUUUGCAGCUUUUUCAAUUUUUGAAUCAAAAUCCAAAUCACCUUUUUGAGAUUGGGUCAUACACCAAUCACCUAAGUAAGAAAAAUCAAACUAAAAGUGAAGAACUAGAAGUAAAAUAAGAUAAAAAAUUAAAUUCAAUUCAAUAAAGUAGAAAAAUUAAGUGUCGUCUCCAGCAACGGCACCAAAAACUUGAUCGACAAAUUCCUGCAAGCGCACAAGGUCAAUCAUCGUAAUAUUUUACCUCAAAUGUUCCAAGGUCGAACCCACAGGGACGAGUUAAUUUUCUAUUUUAAUUAUUCUAACAAAAUUCAAAUUUAAGGAGUGUAUUUUCUAACUAAACAAUAAAAAAAAAACAAUCAAUUUAAAUAAAGUAGUGGUGAGAAAACUUUAGACAUGAGUCUAUGAUUUCAGGUUUUAAUCCAAAAUUUGAGUCAAUUAUCUAGUUAGUUUCUAACCACGUUAUGAACGUAUCACACGACUAUAUUUUAGACCACCUCUUGAUGCAUCUAAAGUGUGUUCCAUUAAAUCCUACACCUCUCUAGAUGGUCAUAAGAGUUCAAUUAAAGCCAUUAAAAUUCUCAGUGAUAUAGGUGCAUCACACAUACCCUAACCUACUCUUAUGAUUAGUCUAUGUGUGUUUAUCUAUCUAGUGCACGGUUGUAUCUCCUUUCUCAAGUUGACACAAACCCAACAUUCAUGUUCAUGGUGAUCAGGCAUAAACACGCAUUAAGAACAAGAUAAAUAAAUCAUAGUAAAAGGCAAGAAAUUAAACUACAAAAAUUAAUCAAUUUGCUUCAUAAAACCCCUAACCCGAGAAAUAAUUUAUUUCAACAUGAUUUAAAAGUUAAAAUCACAAAUUCAAAAAGUUGCUACAAAGAUAAGAGAAAGAGUAAGAAAACUUCUCAGUUGCUUGCUCCAAUCUUCUCCUAGCGCGCUCCUUGAUUCGCCACCAUUUGAACUUGAUCUCUCAAUAAUAAACUGUGAAAAGAUGUUAAAACUAGAUUAGACUAAUGUUUUCCACCUAAAAAUGACCUAAAGAACCCCUAUUUAUAGUUUCUUGAAGAUAUAUCCUAAACAGGGUAGGAAUAGGCUCUAUUGGACUCAAAAAAUCAUGUUUUUGCACAUUGAUCCAAUAAAUACAGGCCCAAUUCCAGCAUAGGUCAUUGGACGGAGCACAAAGCAUAAAAGGAUCUGGAGAUGUUAGGUGCAAAGUCAUUUGCGAAGUCUGGCGCCGGUCAUGGAUCCGCCCACAAAUCAGUGUGGAUCAUUUUUGAAACCUCAAAACUCCAUCAAAUAGGCCGAAUCAGUUCUUGCUCAAAACAUGAAAAUUGUAGCCCUUUGACUAGGCUUUGCAAUGCCUCAAGAAUAAAGUCAUUUGGAGGUCUAGACAUUGAGACAUGCCUAAAAUACUGAUACUUGGUUGUAAGAGCAUUGCAACAUAACUAUACUUCAAUGAUUUGGACUUUUGACUAUGAAAACGUUAGAACCAAACUUUGAGGUCUCAUAAAAGUUGUAGAGAAUUUUCUUGGCUUCAAAUUGAAUUAAGAAUCAUAUUAAUCUGAUUUGUGUAGUUCAAGUUAGCAUCAAAAUACUGAAAUAUGUCAUUCCUACGAAACCUCUUUCCCUUGACUUUUUCCUCUUUCAUUGCUACUUCACACCACAUUUUUAGAUCAUUUUCUCUCUAAUUGAGCUUUUUACCUAUUAGAACAAUAUAAGAGCAAAAUUAAGUAGUUUCUACUCAAAAUAAAGCUCAAAUAACAUAGGCUCCAUUUGGAUUAGGUAUUUUUGGGGUUGUUUUUCAAAAAUAGCACUGUAACAUUUCAUUUUUGAAAUACAAGUCCGUUUGCAUUAGUUGUUUUUGGGGUUGUUUUUCAAAAACUAUAUGAAAAACUUUUAUUGUAGAUGUUUUUUGGAUUAUUUUUAGAGGUAUUUUUAAAACAUAUUUUUGAGUAUUUUUAUAAUUUAUAAUUUUUAUAUUUUUAUAAUUAUAUACAUUUAUGCAUUUAUAAUACAUUUAUAAAUAUUUAUAAAUAAAUAUAUUUAUAUAUUUAUAUAAAAAUAUAUAAAUAUAUAAAUGUAUUAUAUUAUAUAUAAUACAUAAUAUAAUUUUUUUUUUUAUAAAAGAAUUUUUAUUCAAUCAUUCCAACGACAUAAACAUCAAACAGAGCAGGCUAAGCGCGCCUUCUCCUAAAACUCGGAACCCCUAAUUUAUCCAUACGUAUCUCUCCCCUAGCCAUUAGGGGCAAACUAUCAAAGGAGUCAAAAAAGACAGCAUCUCGUCGAAUCGCCCCCAACUUGGCCAACCUGUCCGCAGGUUGAUUUGCCUCUCGCCAACAAUGAGUUAUCGACCGAACCAAACUCUGCAAUCGCAGGAUCUCGUCCACCUCCACCUGCAACCGCCAGGGGCAUGCAUGACCUCCCGAAAGAAUCUGAACCAGCGUUAAAGAGUCCACCUCCAAGUGUAACUGGGUAUAUCCUCGUGCUACACACUGCCGGACCCCAUAAACCAAAGCGCGGAGCUCUGCGUGCAGGCUCGUAGUGAUGCCAAAGUAGCAGGAGAACCCAAAGAGGAAACCCCCAUGGCAAUCGCGCAAAAGCCCUCCCCCACCACUCCUGCCCGGGUUGCCAAGCGAACACCCGUCAGUGUUAAGCUUGUAACCUUCCGGUGGAGGCAACCACUUAACAGGCCAGAUAAGCCACCGACGUGGCCGCAUUUCCAAGUAGUCGUGCAAACUCACCCAAGUGGCAUGGGCCCAUGGGAGUGACGGGAAUUGCAGAUGCAACAGCUCCUUCAGCCAGUGCAUGACCCGGGUUAUCACCACCCCCCCUUCUACACGCCCACCCUGCAUGAAACCAUUAGUCCGAGCUCUCCACACCUCCCAACAAAUUAGAGAUGGCAGGAGCCGAUAGACGAAUGCCAGAUACCGAUUUGAAGCAGGUCGAAUCCACCACGAGAUUGCCCUAUGUCGAACCGAGUUGAUACCAUCCGAGCACCCCCCCGGAAAAUCAAACGCUUUCCAUACUUGACGAGCAGUCUCCCCUGUGCAAAACAGAUGGUUCAAUUGCUCCUCCUGAGGAUUGAUGCAGCAGCAACAGCGGGACGGCCCUUGGACUCCAAAACGUCGUAGCUGCUCCAUUAGUGGUAAUCUGUCUGACAGGAGUCGCAACAUAAAAAAUGAAAUUGUUACCGGCAAGAAUCUGUGCCAAAUGCAAGCAGAGCCAAGGGAUCCAUUAGAGUGGGCACGAACAAGUGACAUCGCUGAGGCAACCGAGAACUCCCCAGCAGGAGUUAACAUCCAUACCAUCCUGUCUUCCCCCUGAAGAGCUGGAGGCGAGGACGCCAUCACCAAACGAAAUACCUCCGGCUGUAAAACUUUGGAGAGGAGUGGCGCGCUCCAUUCCCCUCCAAUAACAAAAUCUGCUACACGAUGGUCCUGGAACACCUCCACUUGACGACACAGCGGUCCUGACCCAGUCCAGUUAUCAUGCCAAAAAUCCAUUGUCCCUGACCGAACAAUCCAGCCGAUAUUUUCCUCCAUUACCCCCUGGACCAUACACAUCCGCCUCCAAGUGUAAGAGCUCCCUAUCCUCUCCUCUACCAAGCAAGGGUGCCGGCCCCUACAAUACUUAGCCGCAAUAAAAGAAGCCCAGAGCGAGCGACCCUGUCUGAAAACCCACCACAACUUCAUUCAGAAUGCCUGAAAGACCUCUGUUAUCCGCCGGAGGCCCAACCCCCCCUCACCAUACGGCCUACAAAGGUCUUCCCAUUUCAUCCAGUGAAACCUCGGACCAUACUCUGAAGAGCCCCAUAGAAACGCUGCCAUCUCUCUCUCUAUCUCCCGUAAGACUCCCUUGGUAGGCGACGCCGCUGCCAACAAAUGAAUAGGCAGAGAGGAUAGAACGUGCUUGAGAAGCACCACCCGUCCCCCUGGCGACAGAAUUCGCUGCUUCCAAAAUAAAAUUCGACCAACAAUGGCCUUGCAAACCUCCCCAAAAUACUCCUUCUUCCGCCGUCCCGUGUACAAGGGGCAACCCAAAUACCGGAUCGGAAAGCUUCGAUUCUGGAAGCCCGUAAGAUGCCUGAUAAUGCUGCAGCGAUACGGAGAAAGGCGAGGAUGCACAAGGAAGGCACUCUUUUGCUUAUUAAUCUUCUGUCCCGACACCUCACAAUAAUCUUCGACAACCCUCAUCACAAGACGCAGAGAAGAUUUCAAGCCACUGGUGAAGAUGACCACAUCGUCGGCAAAAGCCAGAUGUGUGACAAUCGGGCAACCAAUCGGAAUCUUAUACGGUUGAAACUGACGCUGCUCAACCAUAGCGUUCAGCGCCCGAGAGAGAGCUUCAGAACCUAUCACAAACAAGGCUGGAGAUAGUGGGUCCCCUUGUCUCAACCCACGCGUUGAACGAAAGAACCCCUGAGGGGUCCCGUUGAUCAAAACCGAGAACCAAACAUUAGAAACCAGUCUCCAAAUGGCAUCAAUCCAUGACUCGGAGAACCCGAAACGCCUCAACACUUGCAAUAGAAAAUACCAUGACACCCUAUCGUAAGCUUUCAUCAUAUCCAACUUAAGCACCACGUUUCCUCCACGUGACUGUUUCCCAAUAUCUGCCACCAAUUCCUGUGCCAGUAAAAAGUUGUCUGCAAUUUGUCGCCCUUUGACGAAUCCACUCUGUUGAGGGGAGAUGAUCCGGGGUAACAACUUAGCUAACCGAUCCGACAAGAUACGUGAGAGCACUUUAUUUAAGAAGUUACAAAGACUUAUCAGACAGUAUUGUGUGAAGUCCUGGGGGCACUGAACCUUAGGGAUCAGGACAAUAUUCGUGGCGGUAAUGCUCCUUGGCAGCUCCGCCCCACAAAAGAAGCUUAAAACCGCCUGGUAGACAUCCUCCGCAAUCACAUCCCAUGCAAAUGUGAAAAACUCCCCCGUAAACCCAUCCGGUCCCACAACGCUCUCACUAUCCAUUGAGAAAAUCACCUUCUUAACAUCCUCUAAAGUGGGGGGCUCCAUUAGUCCGGAAUUAUCCUGAUCGGUCACCAACCUCGGAAUGGUAUUCAAGAACUCAUAAGUUGAGGGAGGCGCCUCUGCAGUGAAAAGCCCCUGGAAAAAACCAAUUGCCUCCUUUCCGAUGAGGUCCUCAGAUUCUACCCAAGCACCAGUAGGUCCACGGAUCCUAUGAAUGAUAGCCCUACUUCUCCUCUCUGCCACCACCGCAUGGAAGUACUUAGUAUUCCUAUCGCCAUCCUUCAGCCACCGCACCCUGGCUUUUUGUUUCCAAAAUCCUUCUUCGACAACCAAGGUAACCCGAAGCCGCUCCCUGGCAACAUUGAGGGCCCGUUGCACAGAGUCAGAGGAGUCCUGCUCCUGGGCCACCUCCGCCUCCUGUACAGCCCUCUCUGCCUCCUUAACAGCCUUGAAUAUGUCCCCAAAAGAGUCCCUAGACCACCCUUUCAGCGCUUGCUUGACCGCACGCAACUUGGAAGCUAAACUCCCUAACGGCGACCCGCCAAACUCCCCUGACCAUGCAUCACGUAUGACGUCCCGCAGCCCCGCUUUCGUGGUCCACACAUUGAGAAAACGAAAAGGCUUCGGUUUAUGAUCGAAGCGAAAGGAAGCGGUCAUCAAAAGCGGGGAAUGAUCCGACGGAUCCCUAGCCAAGUGCUGCACCAGGAAGCUAGAUCCCAUCUGCAAAGCCUCCAAGUUGAGAAGCACUCUAUCGAGGCGUUUCCAAAUCCGAGCCCGCCCUUGCCGAUUAUUACACCACGUAUACUUGGAACCCGAGAAACCUGCGUCCAUCACUCCAGCCUCCACCAUGAACCGCGCAAUUUCGACCCCUUCAUUUAAUUGAAAUGGCACCCCUCCUCGCUUCUCUUCCUCCUGAGCAAUCACAUUUAAAUCUCCCGCUAAGAACCACGGAGUCUCAGUUGGCUUGUCCAACAACAACUCUGCCCACAACAUCUCGCGGUCGAGCACUGUGCAUUUGGCAUGGAUAAAGGAGAAAACCAGGGUAGAUGGGAAUAACGGGCAAUGGACCUGUAGCGACACAUGUUGACUCGACUCGCCAACCACCAAGCAAGAGAGACCUGAGUUGUAAAAGACCCAAACGGUACCCCCCCUAUUUGAGACACUCCCAUCCAUCCCCAACUGUAAGCGCACAGCAUCAAUGUUGUCUAGGGUAACUUUCGGCUCGCAAAUCGCCACCAAUUUUAAAGAAUGUAGUUUAACAAGUUUCUUAAGCCUCCUAAAAUUUGGGGCGCGAGAAACACCCCUAAUAUUCCAAAAUAGCAUUUUAAUCAUUGGAGAGAACUACAAAGGAAUUAGAUGAAGAGGACUUACUUGAUCGUAAAGUUCGGUCAGAUGGAAAACGAGCACGAACUCCCCGAUGUCUAGCGUGAGCCCUUUCCCAUUGCCCUUCACCCCCAGAGAGAUGAUUUACCACCCCUUCCGCAUCAGCAACCGAAUCAAGGUGAAGAGAAUCAGCUAGCCUUCCUUGAGUGUCAUCAAGAUCCACAAUGAGCUGCAUAUUCGCAAGAGAAAGACUGCCAUCUUCUAGAUUUAAUGCCUCCAUUCCUGCCCCAUAUUCCAAUCUCGUUCGACCCUCCUCCUUAGGAGACAAGCUGUCCUUGCGACGUUGAGUUCCAACUACUUCCUCCUCCAUAAUCUCAACACCCAUUUGCCCCUCUAUCGAUACUUUAGCCAGUGCCACAUCCAUCUCCUCUGGCCGCACUACCAUUCCCAUUUUGCAGCUGUCAAGAUGCAGCCCAGGCUCUUCCCCUUGGCUCGCUGCCCCCAUGUAUGCACCCCCACCCACGGCCUGCUCCUCCAAGGUAAACUCCCUGACAUGAACAUUCUCAAUCUGCUCCUCCUCAGGUUCAUCCACCACUCAAUCCGCCAGCGCAUGGAUGAUAGCAUCAGCAGCAGCCUCGAUCCCUUCCUCCACGAGCGCAGCCACUGAUCCAGGAUGCUGUCUAGAAGUCUGCACUUGCAGUCCACCCAUAACAGACGGAGGCGUAACAGUUGAGACCAUACCCAAUCGCUGCCCCUCCGCCUGCCCCAUUUCCUUUACCUGCCGCGCACCUGAUUGCACCUCAGCAGUUACCUCAAUUACCAGGCCUGGCCUUUCACCCUCUGGUCCCUUGUUAACCUGCAAUGAGGGCACCCCCACGCCGCCCCUCCUUCCCACAACCUGGUCUUCCUGCAUCUUAGACAUCCUCAGGGCAGGAUGUUUCACACGGCACUGAUCCUCCCCAUGCCCUUGUCGGUAACAAUGACUACAAUACUUAGGAAGAUUCUCGGGUAUGAGAACCUGCCAAAAGCCAUCCCCAUCACCCAUGUCCACCCACACCUUCGAUGGUAUCGGCUUCAAUAAAUCAAUCUCGACACACACCCGUGCCACAUUCGGGCGAGAGAAUGAAGCCGUAGCCGCAUCAACGAAUAACGGCUUGCCCAUGCAGGACACAAGAUGAAAAAGACAUGGCUUAGCAAACAAAUGAAUAGGCAACUUGGGCAAGCGAACCCAGACAGGGACAAGGGACGACUCUCUAUCGACAUGGAACUUAGAUGUCCACUUGAAAACUCUCAUAGGACACCCAAACACAUACCAGAGGUUACGGCCCCAAACGCGUAGGAAGUCCGCUUCGCUAAGAAAUUUCAGCAACACAUGUCGAGAAUCUAACAAACCCACUGAUACCGUGUCUUUCAAAUCAAGAGUCGAGAAGAACUUACGAAGAUCCUGCAUCGCUGGACGCCCCUUGGAGAAUUUUCCAACCAAGGUGUAUCGAAAAGGGGCAGCUACCGCUGCAAUGUCCGCAGCGUUGAAGAUUACUGCCGGCUCCCCACGAUGGGUUGACAAAGUUGCUUGAACCACAUCAGGCGAGCGACUCUCAAACAACGCAGAGAAUGAUUUCUUCUGGAAGUUUGGAGAAGAAGAGACCGAUGGCCCCCCACCAGGAGGUAGGGGGCAGCCGCGGCUGCCAUGGGAAAAAAAAACGAAGGAACCCUAAAAUUCUAAAACUGGAAACUCGAGAGAGAAAACAUUCGAGUACUGGCUCUUUUAGAAGUAUUUUUCCAAUACAUAAUAUAAAUAUAUUUAUAAAUGUAUAAAUUAUAAAUGAAUAUUAUAUAAAUGUAUAAAUUAUAAUUUUUAAUUUUUAAUUUUUAAUUUUUAUAUAAAUAUACAUUUAUGCAUUUAUAAUACAUUUAUAAAUUUUUACAUAAAUAUUUAUAAAUGUACUACAAUUUACACCUUAUCAACCACUUUGCCUUGGCUGUAAAAUGAUCUUUUAUCUCUCCUGACCAUAGGAAAGAAGCUAGUAGAGCAUCAGUUUUCUCAAUACAGCCUUAGAGUGUAUGAAUGCACUUGCACAAUAAAGGUAGGUGCACUCAAAACUGAUUGAAUUAGCUGCAAUCUACCCUCGUAACUGAGUUUCUUAUUUGCCCAACUAUAAAUUCUUUGCUGAAUUUUAUUGAAGAUAGGUUAACAAUCUUGAUAUCUAAGCUUAAUAGAUAUCAAUGGCAAUCCCAAAUAUUUCACAGAAAAGGCACUUCUAGUGAUGCUCACUCUAUCACUUAGCUUUUCAGCAACCUCAUCUGACACUCCUGAUAAAAGUACGUUACUCUUCUGUAGAUUUGGUUUAAGUCCAGAUAACCACUCAAAUUCAGUAAGAGAGUCCUUAAGAACGUGGAGAGACUGAGUAGUAGCAACAGCAGACACAAGGAAAAGGUCAUAAGCAAAUGCAACAUGAGAAAAAUUAAGCUCAGUACAACCAGGGUGAAAAUCAAAGCCUCUUUUCUGAAUAUCUCUUUGCAAUAGUGUAGAAAAACUCUCUAUACCUAUGAGAAAGAGAUAGGGGUAAAUGGGGUCUCCUUGUCUAAGUCCUCUUUCACUAUGAAAAUAUCCAAUUAAUGAUCCAUUUGCGUUGAUAGAAAAAUGUGUUGUGGUGACAUGCUUCUCCACCCAGUGAACAUACUUUUCAGGAAAUCCCAUAAUUUUCAUAGUAGUAAAUAGGAAAUGCUAAUCCACAGUAUCAUAAGUUUUCAUGGAGUCAACCUUUAGCACAAAUCUUGGUUUUCCUCUAUACCUAUGGUAUCCACGGACCAGCUCAUGCAUGAUUAGCACACUAUCUGCAAUCUACCUCCCUUUAAUAAAAGCAUUUUGUGUUUUGGAAAUCAAAUCAGGCAAAACUUCUUUAGUCUAAUAUUGGUUAAUACAUCUGAGUGGCAUCUAUGUAGAAGAUUAUAGCAGGGGAUAGGUCUGAAAUCCAUCAUCUGCACUGCAUCUUUAAUCUUAGGAAUCAAGGACAAUGAGGCAUUGUUCUGAGGAAAAUACAUGUAUUCAUUCUCAAAAUAGAACUUUAAAGCAGCAAUGACGUUAUUUCCCACAAUUUCUCAAUUGCUUUUGAAAAAUAUAGCUGUGAAACGCUCGGGACGAGGGGCAUUGCGAUUCUUCAUAGCAAACAUUGUUAGCAUAUGUUAUUUUUAUUUUCUUUCUCUCUCCUAUUAUUUUGUUAUCCCUUGUAACUACUAUAAGAUUAGGAUAGAAUUAGUUUUUGUAUUUCUAUAUGAUAAAGAUAGGACUAAUUAGUUAAAUGACAAGGAUAAAAUUAGCAUAGUAUUCUAGUACGUUAGGCUGGAAGUUUGCAUUUGAUCAAGGGCAUGAUACGAUUGAGGUUGGCUGGGCCAAGAAAGUCACCUAUCUCUGGAACAUGCAAGUCGAAAAAUUGAUGUGUGUCCAAAUACCCCUUUGCUUAUUAGUGGUUUUUGUGGAAAAGUAGAUAUUUUUCUCUAGAUUAUUAAAAAGAAAAUAUUAAGCUUACUCACAGAAGUAUAAAGCUUUGCAAGUAGGGAUGGCAAUGGGGCGGGGGUUCCUUCCCCCAUCCCCCGCCCCGUUGUCAAAUAACUCCCCUUGUCCCCUGCCCCUUGCCCCCCACCCCCGCCCCGCCCCCGCACCGUUUCCCCUGCGGUCCCACGCGAGAAAAGAAAUCAACUUAUCAUAAAAUGUUCAUUUACAAUAAUUCAUUGAAUUUUUUAUUACGUUGCACUUGAUUGCCCCUCUAUGUAUAUCUGACUUUUCAGUUACCAGCCCAUCUCCUGACCAAAAUAUAUCAUUUGGAGUUAUUUCAGCAUUAUACAUAUAUCCAUGGCUAUCUUUUUUUUUAUAAUACUAAAAUCCUAAACCAUUUAAUUGCCGUAAAACGAGUAUUAGUACAUAAGAUGCCAGAGAUUCAUAUCCAAAGCCACAGCAUAGCUUUACAACAACAUAGAGCUUUUCCCAUUAACUAAAAGCAUUCACAGGUCUCCUGAACUAAUUAGCUAAAGAUGACCCCCACCAUAAUAAGUUAUAUCCAUGGCUAUCUAAAAGGAUUGAACAACUCAGAAAUUUAUGCACACAAAAGCCUAGUACAUGAAGCAAAAAAAAUUAGAAGCAAGCCUAUACGAAAAGCAAAACUCUCCUCGUAUGUCCAAGCAUUUUUGAGAACUAACAAGAAAGAGGAAGAAUUCCCAAACGCUAACCAAAAAUAUCUUGAACAGUUAGGGGUUUUGUUACUUUUGUGUAUUUAUAUAUAUAUAUUUUAUGCAGGGGACGGGGCGGGGGAUGGGGCGGGUGUAUGUUGCCCCAUCCCCCGCCCCUUUUUAAGGCGGGGGUAAAUAUUUUGCCCCCGCCCCGCCCCAUUUGUACCCCGGCGGGUGCCCGCCCCAUUGCCAUCCCUAUUUGCAAGUCCAAAAUGAGCAAUUUUGAUGGACAAUCUACGUCAGUGUCCCAAAUUCAAGGGAGUUUUGAAAUUUCAAAAGUUAGGAAUAAGGUGAUGGACUAAUAAUUAAUUGAGAAAGUUAGUGAUUAAUAGGAGUUUGCAACUGUAAACGAUAAUUAAGUAAAAGGAUAAUAUGAAUAUCACAGUCCGUAACUUAAAUCUUAGUUACAGACACAUCCUAACCACAGAUUCCUAAUUCAUGUUUUCAGGUCAUCUUGAAAUGCAGACGUAACAAAUUUCAUAGGUUGCAACAGCCAAUUUUUGUACAAGAGAGGUCAGUGUAUAUAAAUGUUGAUCAUUAGAAGAGACACCAACCUCAUUAACCCUUAUAGGAAUAGAAUCCAGUCUAUUACCAAAAUAUUGAAUACUAGCGGUCAUAAAUUAGUAAAAAAAAUAAGAGAAAAAAAUAAAAAUCCGAAGAAAAUAAAUCGAAAAGGCACUAGUACCCGGCAACGGGGCCAAAAUUUGAUGGGUGUUAAACCACCAAAAUUAAAAUUCCUACUCUCAAACUUAAAUUCAACUGUAGUGGUGAGUAGGGUCGUCUCCUCAGGGACUCCAUGAUUUAUUUCCUUCUAACACAAUAAUUAAAUGGGGGUUCUGGAAAAUUAAAAUAAAAAAUCAGUUUAACUAAAAGUAAUCAAAUGAAAGAAAUUUAAAUUAAGUUAAUAAUAAGUGAACUCUAGCCAAAGAAAUAACUACGGAAGUGGUUCAUACAACUAUUCAUCGAUGCAAUAAUUAUUUCAUCUAUUUGUUAAUAAAUAGGUUAUAGUUGCUAAACACGCGAUGAUAACCAGCUUUUCCUUACCGUCUCGAUGGUUAACUUAUGCCUAUUAACUACUUUUCUAACCAAGAAACAACUCUAGGUAUGCCCAUAGAAUUUAAUUUCUUGAUUGCAUUAAAAACUAGAAAAACCCUAUUCUAAUCAAUAAACACACUAUCAGGGUUUAUUUAAAUUAGAUUAUAUAUUUUCCUAAUACGAAACCAAUCACGCUAGUCGCCACUAAUUUAAGAUAAUUAAACAAUUACGGAUUUAACUAUCUGAACUAAUACUAGAUUAUUAGGUUGAAUUGAUAUUCAAAUAACAAAACAAGUAUGAGAAAUUAAAUCAGAAAACAUGUGAAUACUAACGAAUAAAAGAAACAGAUAAAAAUAAUUAGAUCUGAUAGUCGUAGAGAACAAAAUUCUUGGUUAACCCUUGACUAGAAUAAGAAAUUAGCCACUCAUCGUUGGGAGGCAAUCCGCACAAUUUCAUUGAAGGAAAUCGCAUACGCGCCUGGCAAAAGAAAAAAACUAAAGAAAAGACGCAAAGCAAGGCGCUCCGUUGUUCUUGCUUGCUGCUAAGACUAGUAGUAUCUCCUCUCUUUGGACCACGGACGAACUGUUAAAGUCACGAAAAACAAAUUCCCUUCUCCUCACGUUACUACUUUUCCAAAUAAGUACUACUACUCUAAUUUCCUAUGAAAGAAAUAUUCCCUAUAUUGAUAAAAGAUAAAUCAAAUCGUUUUCCAAUACAAUUUGGAAAUAUGCCUUUUUAGGUUUUCAACUUGAAUUGGGAAACUAUCAUGCGUAAAUCCCAACUUCUCCGGACUUGCAGGCUAGCUUUAGGCACGACUACAUGAAAAAAAGCUAAGAAUCUUCAUUAAUCCGUUUUUUGACUCUUGUCUUGCCAUAUUCCUGAAAUUAGCACUAAUUGCCACAUAUAAGUAUAAUCCAUCAAUUAUUACAAUAAUUUGGCCAAAAUCAAGGAAAAAUACACAUAAAUUUAAUAGUAAUUACGUACCCAAUCAACGAGUAAGGGAUGAGAGGGAGGUCCCUGAGCAAGGGAUGGCAAGUUAAGCUUUGAUUGUUUAACUAGAGGGAGGUCUAGUUCACUGCAAAUUCGAAUAAAUCAAACUAAUGACUAGUUGUUCUUUUAGGUAAUUUAUGCCCAUGGUCCAAAAAAAAAUAUGCCGGUACCCAAAAACUUUGUCUCUAUUAUCCCCAGGCCCCCGGAACUAAGAAAAAAUCUUCCCUCUAUGCCUUUUAUUAUGUCUGAACUGAGGACUUCCAUUUUCUCAGUUCGUACUAGUGAACACUACCAGAAAAUAGUGUAAACGUGGCACCAAAAAAGUGCUGUAAAUAUGGGGGAAUAAUUUCUUUGGCUUGGAUGUUUUGAGUUAAAGAGUUCUAACCGUUCGAAUGUAUUUUGGAGUAGUGAAGUUGAUAAACAGAAGAUGAUGUGGUCUCAAUAUGAAUCAGCAGUGAAGUAUGGGUGCGUAUAAAAAUUUGUCAAUUUAUAAUGGCUUUUUUUAUUUUAAUUAACCACAUAAAAAUGAUUCAUCCAUGCAAAAGCGUCACAACAAUUACAGCAUAUAUUAAAAGCGCCGCCAAACCAAUGGCCGCCCUAAACGACUGUAGAUUAUUAAAAAAAUCUAUGGAGACAAGAUAAAUUUUUUUUUUUUGUCGAAAAUAAUUGAUCUGAUAAUUGAUAUGGAGACAAGAUAAUUGAGAGAGUGUCCCAUGCAUCGAAAUUGAUCUGAUAAUAAAGAUUAAUAUUAUCAUUUUUUAAUAUUAUUUGAGUGGAAUCUUAUAAGUCGGAGAGAUCAUUGGAAUAAAAAAGAAUUACGGAGCACUAAGACAAAUAAACUAUGAUACGUACAACCAAUGAAUGACGUGCAAGUAACAGAAAGCUUGAAUACUUAUCUUCACCCACUGCAAUGUUUAAUUGCUUGUUUAGAAUGUGCAUUUGGACGAAAUCUAAUCCAAUCCUUUCACACUCCCCAUUUUCUUAGUAUCAAUCACUAGUUGUCGUUUUUCUCCUUUGGUGCAAGUAAAUUGACAACACUGAAAAUUUAAAAACUUGCGUUGCAAGCUACCUUUCGUGGCUUUACAAUUGGCAUAUUUCUAGUAAUUUAGGUACUGUUUUUAGAAGUGAUUGGAAUGACAUUACGUUCCAGCUACCUUUCGUGGCUUCUGGUUCUUUUAAAGUGCCGUCUGCUGUAUAGAUGUUGUGUCCCCCGGAAUUGAGGAAAAGUGUCUUCAUAACCCUAAAAAGCAAUAACAAAGCAAAAAAUAAAUAAAGAAAAGAGACACCACUAUAUUUAUGUGAUUCAAGAAAGUACAAAAAACUCAAGAAACUGUUCUAGAACCAAAAGAACUUAAUACUAAAAUAUAGUGUCCUAAAAUAUCAGUAUAUUUAUAAUUACUAAAAAUUAUAAUCUUAGAGUUUCAAAUAUAUUGGUAAAAAUGGCAAUCAUUUUUUUGAAAAUACAGAAGAAAUUAAUAAUUUAGAUUGUCAAAGAAUUUGUGUAUCCCCUCUAUAAAACUGGCCUUUUUCUUUUUUCUUUUUUUUUUUUUAUUGUAAACGAAUAUAUCAGUUUAUCAAGAUAGAUAUAAUAAUGAAUCUGUCCUCUGUUAAAAACUUUACAACCCAAAUUUAUAAAUGCAAUUUGGAACCUAUGAGGGUCAUUAGAUUUGUAAAAUUAUAUUUAGAUCAUCAAAAUUUUGUGAAUCUAAUUCCACAUCAUAAAACUAAAAGAUACCUUGAUCAUUGAUUUUGAGUUCAAAUUCUUAUAUUUCACUGAUAAGUUUUGGGAUGACUUGAACUUUAUGCUAUUAGCAUAUAAUGCUAGAAAUAAGUAAGUAUCUUGAUCGUAGACCAUUGGUGUGUUUGGAUACAUAAUUUAUUUUAAAUAUUAAAUUUGUUGCAUCAUAAACACAUUCUCCAACCUUUUUUAUAUUUUCAACCAUCUUCUUUUUUCGCAUUAAUCACAACACAAAAAAAGUAGUAUGGUAAUUAUUAAAGUAUUUUUUAAAUAAUUUUUAUAAGUCAGGUUUUUUAAUGUUUUCAUUGCAUUUCCUUUUGUUUCUGCAGAAACUGGAACAUGGGCUGCUGGGGCUUUUAUACCUAUGGUAGGUAAGAUUAAACUAAAAUUGAACAGGAGAGGUCCUGUCUUUUACACCUAUGGUAGGUCAGUUUUUCACUUUUCUUCUAUCCCAUUUAAUAAUGCUAGAAAUUAUUAAGUAUUUUGGUUGUAGACCAUUGGUGUGUUUGGGUACAUAAUUUUUUUCGAAUAUUAUUUUUAUUGCAUCAUAAACAUGUUCAACACAAAAAAAAAUGUAGUACGGUAAUUAUUAAAAUAAUUUUUUCAACUGUGUUAGUAAAUGGAAAGAUGUACCAAACACCAAAGAAAAUUGGAAAAUUAGUGUCACCUGAAAUCUCCUUCAAAGCAUCCUUGAAGCUAGUGGGUGUUUUAUGGGAGAUUAGUGAUAUUACAAAGGGUGAGUGUUUUUUGAGGGGCUAUGCCAGGCUGUGGUGCAAAAGGUUGAGUCCUGGGAGAAUAAGUUGUUAUCUGCCGGGGGUCGGAUUGUUCUGUUGAAGCAUGUGCUAUCUGCUCUGCCACUCUUCCUCUUGAUGGCUGCAUCUCCACCCAAGUCGGUAUUUAGGGAGAUUGAAGGGCGGUUCUCAAAUUUCCUUUGGGGUGAGUCGGAGUGGGGGCAUAAGUGUCAUUGGAUCAGGUGGCAGGAUUUAUGUGUGCCAGGGGAUGAAGGGGGCUUGGGGCUGCGACGAUUGGAGGAUAUUCACAGAGCCUUCUCCAUCAAGCUUUGGUGGAACUUCCGUUCGUUGGCCUCUUUAUGGGCGACCUUUAUGAGGGCUAAGUACUGUGCGCAGGUGCAUCCUAAUUUGGUAAAUUGUAAUGGGGGUUCGCUAAUCUGGAGACGGAUGGUAACAGUGCGGCAGUUUGCAGAGCUUCACAUUGGUUGGAUUGGGCGAUCUGGAGGCUUGAAUUUCUGGUUUGAUAACUGGCUCGGGACAGGUUCUCUGGCCUCUCGGCUGGAUAGUGUCUCGGACCAUUUGCUUGUUGAUUUCGUGGAGAAUGGCCAUUGGAACCUUCCACUCUUGCAGCAAUGGGUUCCGCACGGGGUUAUCAGUGAGAUCGUGCGGGUUGUGCCUCCUGUAGGUCAUUUGCCCGAUUUAAUGGUAUGGAGACCAUCUUUAUCGGGGCAAUUUAACCUAAGUUCGGCGUUCCACCUUGUGAGGAGGCAUGUUAAUCGCUCAUUUAUGUCUAGACGAAUAUGGCAUCCGUUGGUGCCUUUGAAGGUUUCUUUCUUCUUGUUACGCCUACUUCGCGGGCGUUUACCGGUGGACUGUUGCUUGAUGAAGUUUGGGGUUCAGGGGCCUUCCAAGUGUGAGUGUUGCCCUUUGCCUUCUAUCGAGACUAUUGACCACGUCUUUGCUACGGGGGAGAUGGCGUCACGGGUAUGGCAUUUCUUUGGGGAUCCUGUGGGAAUAUCUUGGGUUGGGUCGUCCUUUCGUGGAUGUAUGGCGGCCUGGUGGUAUGGGAGGAGAGGCAACCGACAGCUCGAGUUUGUGCAUCAGAUUCUCCCACUCCUGAUUUGCUGGCAGUUAUGGAAAUGCAGAAACAGCAUGCGAUAUGAUGGGGCCUGUAUCGGGUGGACCAGGGUGUGCAACUUGGUUUUGUCCGAUCUAUUGGAGCUGUUCGGUCUGUUUCUUCCCCACCGGAGGCCUUUCCCCUCGGACUGGGUACGUUUCUAUGCAGAGAUCUCAGGGUGGGCACCCCGGAUUUCCUAUACGCUGGUGCGGUGGUCUCGGCCUUCGGCGGGUGCUCUCAAACUCAAUACGGACGGCUGUUCCAAGGGUAAUCCUGGCGCUAGUGGAGGAGGAGGGAUACUUCGGGAUGGCGGUGGCAGUUUGAUUCUGGCGUUCUCGUGUUAUUUUGGCCAUGCUACGAGCCUUCAGGCCGAGGUUUGUGCGCUUCUUUUUGGGGUUCAAUUGUGCUUUCAACGCGGGUUUGGCAGGAUUGAGGUAGAGCUAGAUUCACUUGUCCUAGUUCACAUUCUCCUUGGAAAGGCUACAUAUCCUUGGAGUGUGUAUCACGAGAUUCAGCAGCUGCUGGGAUUACGCGGCCAUUUCUUAACAGUUCGACAUUGUCUCCGCCAGGCAAACCAGGUUGCUGAUGCUUUAUCAAAUGUCGGCUGUGCUCAGGGGAGAGAGGAGGUUUACACUUCUUCAAUAGCUUUACCUCGUGUAGCUAGAGGAGCCAUGCGCCUUGAUAGAGGGGGGGUUCCUUCGGUUAGACGGAUUAUCCAUAACUAGGGCAGUCUGUAAUGGUUUUUCCUCAAGUUGAUCAAUAAAGUUUUAGAGUUUUGAAAAAAAAGAAAAAAAAAGAAAAAAAAAGGGUGAGAUUAUUACAAACGUGUAUGAAAAUCCCCUGGUGGCCAAUUGUGGCGUCUAAAACACCAGACGCAUCGAUUUUUAAAAUUCCGACCUUGCAGCUGGAAAUCAAUCUGGAACAAGAUGAAUGAUGCAAAAUCUUGAACAAAUGGAUUGAUUAACUUGUUUAGUUAAUUGAAGUCAUGUGCACCUUUUGUCCAAUAACAUUUUCUUCUUUUUUUUCUUUUUCCCUAAAGCGCGGUGCAUCAAGGCAUUUGCUUUCAGCAAAACUCAGAUGAACAUCAUGCAUGUUCUAUUUAUCAAAAAAAAAAAAAGAAUUGUAUUUGGAUAGUUGAUUAUUUGGAAUAAUUUUCUGAAAAAAAUAUUGUAGUACUUUUUUAAUGUGCUGUAUGUGAAAUAAAAGAUAAUUAAAAAAUAUGUUGAUGAUACAAGCAAAUAAAUUUUGCCAAAUAAUCUACUACGCAAACAAAAGUAUUUGGAGGUUGUGGCAACAGACGGGAUAUUUUUUUUUCCCCAUUACAAUCUCAGUUGGGAAUAGUUCAGCAUAAAUUAUCCAAACUGACCAACUACUUCCUGCAACAAGAAAAUGCGAUUUAAUCAUGUGAUACAGAGGUUAAUCACUAAGCAAGAUUAGCAUGCUUGAGGGCCUUGAAAAUGUCUACUUGUUCAGUGGUUUUCUAUAAAAAGCCAACCGUGAUGAGAUAAUUAUCAAACUGCUAGUGCUGAUUAAUGUACAUUUACCUUGUUGAAAAAGAAAGAAUUAGACCUACUUGGCUUGAAUUUACAUCUGACAAAUGUGUAACGUAAUUGAAAAAGAAAUUCACUAAUUUUCCUUUCAACUUCAAUUGUAUAAGUUGAAAUGUAUAGAACUUUAGUAAUAUUUUUAUAGUUUAUUUUUUCACCAAUAAAUUUUUUCCCUAAUCAUGUAAAAUAAGCGGGAUGUUUUUCUCUAUCUAAAAAUAUGUAAUUGUGGAGAUAAAAUUUAACAAGACUUGUAAAAUGAAAUUAAUUCUUCUAUUAAUAUUUACAUAUUUAUUAUAUAUUUUUCUAAGUAUAUAAUAAUUAGUAUCUAAAAGUACUUUAUUAAAUUAAUACACACAGGUUCAACUAGUGACCCAAUUCCUCUGCUGGACUCCUUGUCAUGUCAAGUUUAAUAAUUAUGCUUUCUCCAACUAGAAAAUACAACUUAAUCAUGAGAUUCUCAUGUUCAUCACUGAAUAAGAUUUGUAUCCUUGUGAGCUCUCAAAAUAUCUACUUAUUUUGUGGCCUUAAGUAAAAAGCCCAUUGUGACGAGGCAAUUGUCAAACUGCUCAUUAUUAUACUUUUUUUAUAUGAUAGAUUUUAUACUAUAAUUAUUUGUACUCUACAUUAAGAGGUACUGUAUAAGAUUAGUAUCCUUGUGAGCUCUCAAAAUAUCUACUUAUUUUGUGACCUUAAGUAAAAAGCCAAUUGUGACGAGACAAUUGUCAAACUGCUCAUUAUUGUACUUUUUUUUAUAUGAUAGAUUUUAUACUAUAAUUAUUUGUACUCUACGUUAAGAGGAGGGGAUCUAAAAAGAUCAAAGGAAACUCGUCGACCCUGAUGAGUGCAUAGGCACCCACUAGCAAAAUAUUUCUAAUAAAAUCUGGAUAUUAGAAUGUAAACCAAGAAUUUGAUCCUUAACCUACAAUCAAAUAAAACUUUCUUGAUGCCGGCUUUUGUGGUUUCCUGUGGAUAAAGUCUCGUAAAAUGCAAAAGUCAAUCUGCUUGGCUAGACAAAAAAAAUAAAUAAAUAAAACUUUCUUGACGGCCAACUACUCUGUUACUCUAGCAGCAGAGUAGUUGGUUUGUUGAUUAGUGUUAUUGACGUACUAUGAAUUGUUAUUGACGUACUCUGUAAUUAGUACUAAUUAAUGUACACUUCCCUUGUUGAAAUUUGAAAAAGAAAGAAGAAAGAAUGAGACCUAGCUCACUUGAAUUUACACCUAUAAAUAUACUACGUAAUUGGAAAAGAACUUAGCUAGUUUGCCAUAUUAUUCUGAAUUGUUUAACCUCUUGGCUCUUCAAAUACCAGCAUUGGCUACCCCUCAUUGCUAAUUGAUCAGGCUAAAUUGAGCUACGGGAAGUGCGUAUAAGGAAAGAGGCUGCCUAAAACCAUGGAAUGCGCUUCAAAUAUCAGGCUUCCGGUCAUAAAUUUAACGGAGGAAAUCCUAAGAUCCGGAAAAGAUUCUUGGACUGAAGCGCGAAACAUUGUCACACGGGCAUUUGAAGAGUAUGGCUGUUUCAUAGCUGUUCAUGAUAAGUAUCCUUCAGAGGUUAGUGAUUCCUUAUUCUCUGAGCUGCAAGAUUUGUUUAACCUGCCGUUGGAGAUUAAAGUCCAAAACACUUCUCAAACUCCCCUCUCUGGUUAUGCUCGGCCAAGACCCAACGUGAACCUCUACGAAAGCAUGUGCAUUGAAGAUGCAACAAAUCUUGAAGCAGUCGAGAAGUUCGCAAAUCAGAUGUGGCCUUCCAAAAAUAACCAUUUCUGGUAAACUUGUUUCCAUUAAUAUGUAAUUCUUCUUAUAGUUUAUUGCUACUAUGCAUUAUUCACAUCCGAAAUGCUUACCUUUUUUUUUUUUUUUUGAAUAUGCCCUCCCAUGACUAGUGAACUGUUUCAUUGCUAUGCAAAUCAAGUAGCAGAAUUAGAUAAAAUGGUGAGCAAAUUGGUGUUUGAAAGCUAUGGUGUGGAGAAGUACCACGAAUCUCAUGUGGGAUCAGUGACUUAUAAUGUUAGAUUCAUAAGGUACAGGGUACCCGAACAGAAUGAGAUGAAUGUCGGAGUUGCUCCUCAUACUGACAAGAACUUCAUAACCAUACUUCAACAGAAUGAAACUGAUGGUUUACAAGUUCAGUUGAAGAAUGGAAGCUGGAUUCCUAUUGAUUUUCCUCCUUCCUCCGUAGUAAUCAUGGCUGGAGAUGUAUUCUCGGUGAGAUAUUUUCUUUUUUUGUCAUUAAAUGUGCAAGCCUGGAUCAUAUUAAACUUGAUUAGUUACAACAUUGCAAUCCUCUAAAAAUCCAUGUUUUAAAAUUCCAUUUUCCUUUUCAAAUCAUUUCCCUUUGUCAUGAAUAUACCGGGACAAUUGUUAUGUGUUUUUCACCUGAAACUAAAAUGAAAACAAAUAUGCAAAAGAAAGAUUAGACAAUAACAAUAUAUUAAUACUCAAGUGUGGAGGGUUGAGACACGGAUAUUUCUGUUUCUCUUUAAAAUGAUUCAAGCCUCUAUAAAAGAAUCAACUCUAAUGCAACAAGUUUUCUAACUUGUCAUUUCCAAGAUACACCACUUCAGCCAUACUUACUAACACUCUCUUUAGACUACACAACUGGGAGAGUAUACCUUUAUAAAUGCCUUAUUAAUUUCUUGUCUAACUAUGAUACAGAAAAUAAUGAAUUUAGACUCAAAAGACAUAAACAGUUGCAGUAGAACUUUUCUAUCUCAACUAUGCAUAUAUAUAUAUAUAUAUAUAUAUAUAUAGGUGAAGAAAAGUUAGAUAAACAUAACCUAUAUUCCUAAUAAAGUACUAAGUAAAUGCUGAAAUUAUUGGCCAUUCAAAACACAUUCAAUUUUAUAUUGUAGGUUACAAAAAACUUAUUGUAAUUGAAACAUCAUAAUUUCACAUUCUUUGGUCAAUACCCAUUCAAUCCAAAUUUGAAUUGUAAGUUACAAUACCUCGAAGUAAUUGAAAAGUCAUAAUUUCAUAUAAUAAAUCUUCAGGAAAAACCAUUCAAACACCUAUAAAUUUCAGAAAAUUUCAAUAAUUUAUUUCCCUUUUAACAUGCACAUUUAAUUGAGAAUUUAAUUAUUUUAUUAAAAUACUACAACAUUAUGUAAAAAGCAAAAAACAAAGUUAAAAAACUUUGGUUCAAUUAGAAAAGUUGAUUCAAUAAUGGCUUCGCCAUACAUCAUCUAAGUUGGAUGUGUUAUGGUCAAAUUAGAACGAAAAGGAAAAAGGCCUCACAGAUGUUACUACCUUAAUCAUCUAGAAUAUUGGCAUGGCAUUUGUGCCAUAACUUUCAGUAUUUUUGCUGUAAAUGCUGACUUCUCUAGUGGAUAUUAAUAUAUUGAUUGUAUACAUUUUUGAAAUGCAGGCGUGGAGCAACGGUAGAGUGCAUUCCCCAUUUCAUAGAGUAACUAUGAAGGGAAGAGAAACUAGGUAUUCGAUUGCACAAUUUUCCUAUUGCAAAAAAUUGGUAGAGACACCAACAGAGUUGGUUGAUGAUGAACACCCCUUAUUAUAUAAGCCAUUGGACAAUUUUGGUUAUCUCCGAUUCUUGAGCACAGAUGAUAAUUUUAAUACUCCAAAUCCACUGAAGGCCUAUUGUGGCGUCUAA